ACAGUGUAGUGUGGGUGAGUAAAGUUGGAAUGAGGGAGUGAGCGGGAUGAAAUGGAAAUUUGAAACACAGAAUAAGGGCAAAAAAAAAAAAAAAAAAAAAAAGAGUGAUUCAAAAGAACAAAAUUAAAAAGAAAAAGAAAAAGGGUAAAGAAAUAAAGAAAUAAAGAAAUAAAUAAAUAAAACAGUUAUUAAUAAUAAUAUUAAAUGAAUAAUCGUGUUUUAAUUGCGUUUGCUGUUUUGACCAAAAAAGUGAAAAGGACACUUCGUGGACUCGAAGCUGUCAGCUCUUCAAUUCUUAUUAUAUUAUCACCUUACGCUAACCUCAAUUUUCCACCUCCCUUUUUACCUUCUUACCCUCUUCUUUUCAAAUUCCUUUCCCCACUUUCCACCUAACAAAACCCUACUUUCGUAUUUUCUCUCCUCAGGUUAAUUUUUGUUACGUGAUACAAUGCUCCAAUCCUCUACUUCUCACUUUCUUUAUAUUUUAAAUUCAUCCACUUUUAAUUUGCCACGUAUUAGAUUUUUAUACUAAAGCCUCCUUAUUCGCAAACACUUUCGAGUCUACGUAGUUUCUCCUACACCCCGUCUUUCCUUUUUCUUUUUCUUUCUUAAUGGCUUUGAGAUAAAUUCUUGUUCUUUAAUUUCUUUUUUGUGUUAAUAUGUUUUGUUAGUUUAGUUCCACCAAUUUGGGGAGAAAUUAGUGGCUAAUGACAAUUUAUUCUUUUUCCAAUUUACAAUAUUUUACUGCUUAUGUAUAGCUGUUUAAUUUUUAUAAAAAAUUAAAGUUUUUUUAAAAAACUAUUUUUACACCUUUUUUUAAAAAUUUGAAAUUUGAAAUAUAUGUAAAGUUGAAAUGGUUUAUUUUGUGAAAAUUUUGUCCUAAACUUUUGUGCUUACCUAUCAAUUAUUGUAUGUAAGUAAAUAAUUUUAAUCAAAAUUAAUUUAGUUAUUAAUCAACUCAACUCAUGAGUGCACAUAUUAAAAUAAUUUAAAAUUUAGUUAUAUUUUACUAUAAUUUUUCUAAAAUGUAAUCUUAAAAUUUAAAUUUAAAGUAUUUAUUUUGAAACCAAUAACAUCAAAAUAGCAUAAUCUAUCUUUUAUUAUAAAAUUUAUAGUUUUCUCUUAUUAAUCUAUAAGGUAAGAUCACAAAAACUAUAUAUAAUUUUUGGAUAAAAAUACCAUUGAAUGCAUUAGACGGUCUAUUUAAAAACAACAAUAAAUAGGUAAACACGUGAAUAGGAAAGCAUCUCAUGACCACUCCAUUUCCUCCGGCUAUUACUUAUGAUUUUAACUAAGUUUCAAAAUAUGAUGUAGGAUGGAAAUAGUGACACUUCGGUUGUAUGAAAAUAUAAAUAUGGAACGAAGUUUUUUGGAAAAAUGAUGAAAUUUGUUAUAAUUAAUUAAUAAAACUUUUGCUAUAACUCAAUUUGACUAUAACUUAUCAUUUUUAAUCACAAAUUCUAUAAAGUAAGACAAUAUUUAGACGUCCACGUAAAUUUUAAAAACAAAUAGAACAGUAAACCACAAAGUAAUAUAAAGUUCAAGAAUAUUUUAAGGUAAAAGGAUGUGAAUAAUUUUAAGAAUUGAAUUAUGUCAAAAAAGAAAAUUGUAUGUUGUGUUUGGGAUACUUGAUUUGAAGCAUAGAUUUUAGUUCUUGUUAUAAUGGUUUAUGUGUAAAUUAUUUUAAUUCAAUAAGAUAAUAGUAAACUCAGUUACAAGUAAUAAAAGAAUGAUAAAGAUAAAAGGAGUAAAAACUACAUAGAGCAAAAACCAUAGCAAAUAAAAGGUUUCAAAGUUGUAAUUAUUGUAACUAAUUAAAAAACUUUUAUUUAGUAUUUACUAUACCAAUCCGUCAAUUAUAGUUUAAUUUUUGUGAGUUUUUGCAAAAUAAUUUACUUUAAAAACAAAAGUUUGAGAUGAAAUAUAAAGCUAAAAAUUAAGGAGAAAAAAGUUGUACAUAGCCAACCUGAACUUAGCUCAACUAGCUGAUCGUGUGUAAAAUUAUAGAAUUAUAAUCUAAAAUUAAAAAAUUUGAACACACUCAUUGCAGUUAGUUAAAAAAUCGAUUUUUUUUUUUAAAUAUUGAAAUUUCUCAAAACAAAAAAAAAAACGAAAGUUCUCCUAUUAGAAUUUGAAAUCCAUCAAAAUCUUGAAAAUUCCAUCAUAUUUAUAUGUAUUUUAUCAAAUCUUUCUAUCCUAAUUUGAUAAAUUUAUUGGUUUUUUUUUUAAAGAAAAUUUUGUAUGGUUGAAAAUUAGAGAUAUGUUUGCUCAAAAAUAUAAAAUAUCAUGUCUUUUCCAAUCUAUUUGAUAUUAUUCUAAGUAUCUAAUAUUUUAAUAAAUCUUAAAUAUUCCAUGGAAGUUCAUUUUUAUUAAAAUUGAUUAAAUUAUUACAAUUAUUUAUCUUCAUAUAUUAUACACUUUUUAAGUUUAUAGUAAAAAUACUAUAAGAUCAUGAAAAAAAAUCAACAUAUCAACUCUAGGUAGUAACUAGAAUAAUAGUAUAAACUAAAUUUAAGAUUUAAUUAUUUGUAAAAACUUCAAAAGAAUAUUUUAAAUAAAUCACAAACGUAUCAACUUACAUUUAAUACGAUGAGGCCCGCAUUACCCAAUACAAUUAGUAGAUUGGACCCUUGAGUGGUAGCUAUCAUUUCUUAGGCAACUCCACAUAGUUAAGAUUUCACAUUAAAAUAGAUACAAACAUAACUACACACAUAUUUUCUUUAUAUUUCACCAUAUAAACUAUACAAAAACUAUACAUUUUUGUAUAUCAAUCUAACAACAAAACCAUCCCAAGAAAUAGAAGUUUCCAAUAUACAUGUAAAAAUGAGAAGAAUUGAAGUAUAUAGAAAAAAAAAAAAAGUAACAUCAACUUUAUUUACUAUUCGCUACCGUUUUUACUAUUUGACAUUCAUAACUUUUUAUUAUUUUCUACAACGUUUAUUAUUUUUUUUAUCAAACUAAAAUAGUCUACACGUCAAACAUAUACUAUUAUAACCAAAACUAAAAUAAUUUAUACUUCAAACAUACAUUAUAUCUUUAUAGUUUUUGUUAAUUUAAAAUCAUAAACGGAAUACUUUAUUCACAUUUAAUGAUAUAAAUAUCUUUCAAAUUAAUGUUCAGCAAAUAUGUCCCCUCAACACAUUUUUUGUUUGCAUCAAGACAUGAUGAAAUUGAUUAAAUUUAAAUGGGAAGGAAAUUAAAAGUUAGGACAGAAGAAGAUAAUAUACAACUAAUUAAAGUUUAUAACUAAUCUUGUAAAUUAAAUGAAAAAGGGGGAAAAGAGAAAAGAAAAGAUGAAGUUGAAUUCCUCUUGCUUUUUCAAGCUGCCUCUUGCUAAUUAAUUAACACCUUUAUUUAUGCAUAGCUUAUGACUAUUUUUAGCCCUGUGAUAUAUAAUAUAUUUCGUACACGUACCUAUUUGCACAUUCCUUUUCAAGACAUCUAAAUCUUUAGAUAAUAACUCGGGACUUUCACAAAAAUAACAAAAUAAAAAAGUUAUGAUAAUAGAACUAGUGUUAUUAUAUUUUCUAAAUUGUAAAAUUAGCAAAUUUAAAAGCGGAUAACUCUCUGAUUAGUUAUUCGAUAGUCAUUUGAUAUUAUUAAUUACUUGUAGUAUUUGUCAUAUUCGCACCAUGCAAAAACGAGUAGCACUUGCAAAAAUAGAAAAAAAAAUUAUGACAAUAAGACAUAUGUCAUUAUAUUUUAUAAAUUACAAAAAUAACAAAUUUAAAAUUAAUAAUAAUUAUAUGAUAUCACUAAUUGCUUAUCAUAUUAGUUAUUUUCGCGAUAUAUAAAAAAAAGUGAUAUAAGCGUUUUUCUUAAAAGAAAUAUUGUUAUUCCAUAUCAUUUUUCUAAUAAAAUUUUGUGAUGGAUUAAAUUGAUACAUAUUAAUAUUAAUAUUAACAUAGACUUUAUUAUUUCAAAAUGGAAAAUAUAAUUAUUGUAUUCAAAAGGGUAUCAAAUCCAUAAUAGUAGAUUAGGAAAAGGACAAUAAAUGAAGUGAUUAAGGUGAAAAUAGAAUUAUUUAAUUUUGAAAAUGUAUGACAAGUUGACAAAAUAAGACAAAGGGGAAUUAAAAUUCCAUCUCAUCAAAUCUAAUUUUGAAUUUUGUACUUUAUCUUUCAAUAAAAUUUUAUAAACCAUUAGUUAAGCCUAUAAAAAAAUCAUUUCCAACCUAUUAAUUUAACUCAACCAUGCAUUAACAAUUUAAAAAAAUUUAUGAAUAUAAAUAUACAAUAAUAGAAGUCUAUUAGUGAUAUAUCAUAUUAUAAAUAUAAUCAAUUGCUCAUAAAUUUUAUUAUAUUUGAUGUUUUUUUAAAAAUUGUUGCUAUACACGUAGUUAUUAUCUUUAAAUUCGAUACCCUUGAAAAUUAUAUUUAUUAAGUUUUUUUAGUAAUAUCUAAAUUAAUAUUAUGAAUUAGAAUAUAAUAAAAGUGGAGCAUCUAGGACCUUGCUUAGUAUGAUAUUCUAUGUAUAAACAACAAUGAUAUAUACAUAUAAUACACCCUCAAUUCUCCACCCUUCAAUUUACCUUUUGUUAAAUUUAUAAAAUAUGUAUUUGUAAAUGUGAAGACAACUCAAUUAGAAAUAUGAAUAAUCCAUUAUUAGGUUGACAUUUCAAAUACCACGCUCUUGAUAUGUUUGGACUAAUAUUUUUCUGUUUUUAAAUUUUCAAAAGGGAUGGAUGCGUCUCUAAAAUGUAUUAAAUGUUUACAUUUUAAAAAUUUAAAAUUUAAUAACACGCUAUGGUGUUAUCAAAGUAAUGAUUUUGUUAGUUUACUAAAAUGUAAAGAAAAAUUUGAAGUUCUAACACAUAUUGUAUGUGAGUGUCAAAACUUAAAUUGUAGAUCUUAAUUAGUACGUUUAAUUUUACUUUUCUUGUAGAUAUGUGUAGUAUUCGAUUUCGGUGUGCUACGUAUGUAUGAAUUCAAUAUCAAUAUAUCAAUUAUUAGAAAUUUUUAUGAAAUAAAAGAAAUAAACAACAAAAUGUUAAAGUAAUAUCUUUAACUUGUUUAAAAGUAAUAAAAGGACUUAUUAUUAAUUUAAGUUUAUGCUUAUAUUAAUUUUAGAAAUACCUAAGUUUUAUUGAAAUUUUUAUAAGAUUAACAGGUCGUGGGAAUAUAUUACUACAAAGCUGUUUUUGAGAUGGGAGGAGAUAUUCUAAACUUUACUUCAAUUUUUGAAAAAAAUCACAAAUUAUUUUACUUUCAUCAAACAAAACCAUUAAAAAGUAUAGUAAAUAUUUGGUUGAAUAUUAUAUUAUUUACAAUUUGGGUGAGAUAAUGUAUUUGGAUUUAUAAAAAAAAAAUUAUAAUAAUUAAAAAGAAAAAUAAUAUGAUGUAACGAACCGACGGAGUUUUCUUGAACAUGGAAAAAAUAAAUAAGAGAGAAAAAAAUGUUGAAACAGAUUUUUCCUAAGAGAACGAAGGAGAAUUGUCAUCUCAAAUUCUCAAUUCACAUCCGCACAGCAAAGCUCACGUCUCUCUUUCUUUCUCUCUCUCUCCUCUUUUUUUUUUCUUCCUUUAUCUCUCUUCCCCCACCUCCCCACUCUGGCUCGUAAAAGUCGACCAAAAACCAUAACCACCAAGACUUGGAGAUGAUAAUUGAUGACCAAACGCUGACACUGAGCUUUAGAUAAGAAUGGCAACUCAGCUGCUAUCUCCGACUAUAACUUUUCCUUCUCUUUUCUGUAGCAACAGUAAUGGAGUCGGUUUUUAUAAAUUCCAUUCUUCCCCUUAUUCUCAUCACGUCUCUGUUUCUUCUUCUUCCUCAUUUCCGAUGGCUAAAACCAAUCAAUCCACUUCUAGACUAUGUUAUUUGCAAACCCAUUUACCCAAAUCAGGUAUUUUCCUCAUACCCACUUGAAUUUUGUGGAAUUUUAUCGAUGUUUAUCUGGUUUUGUAUAUUUGGUUGUGGGUUGUCCUCUGUUUUGCGUAUUGGAAUGGUUUUUGAUGAUUAUGAUGGGUACUUGGUUUUUACGUGUUGGGAAGGUUAUGAAAUGUUCUUCAAUUUCAAUCUUCUUUUUGCUGCCAAAUGCUCUGCUACUUUCUGAUUAUGGGUUUACUUCAAUGGGAAUUUUAUGCGUCUGGUUUUGCGGUCUUCUCUGUUUGGUUUCUUGGUGAAUAGUUUGAGGAUUUUCUUGAUGUCUGAGCUAAUGUGGAGGAAAAUUGUUGGGACAUGUUCUUCAGUUAUGGAUUGGUUUCGUGACGCAAGAAUGAAACGUUGGUUAUGUUUAUUUAUUUUUUCAAUAUCAUUUGUUUUUAGGACUGGGUUCUGUUAAUUCUUCUUGUUCGGAUGUUUUUGGUUUAAUCCAUUUUUUCGUUUUACUUUGUUCCCACAUUUCUCUGUGGUAUAUCAUCGUUUUUGGUUCAACAAAUGUGUGGUAGUUGUAUGUGGUUUAUCGCUUGUAUCGUUCUACUUCGAGGUGGCAACAACGAAGUUAAGUAAGCUUGGAAAAAGCCUACAAAGAGCUAGCGGCCGAAUAGUUUGGGCUGCUGUUAAAUGAGAUGUGGGCUUUAUUGUCUCUUAUCAACGUUUGGCCUACUUGGUUAGUUACUAUGUACCUAUGUGUGUGUUUCCCGCUUCUUCUCGGAGUUCAACUGGACUCAACCUCUCACUUUUAGGGACAUAGAUUAUGUCUUGACCUAUUGUGCUAUGCAAAUAGAGUUCUUAGUUCUCAUCACAGUUCCAUAUCAUUAUUUUGGUUUUUUGAAGAUGAGGUAUUUAGCAAAAGAUUUUGCUCCAUCAAUUAUAUUAAAGGGUGUCGAAAAGGUUGGUUUGGGCCUUCAAGGGCUAAUAGUCAAUGGAAUUUCGUCCUUGGGAUGGGUUGAGAAUGUGCUACAUUUUCAGUAAGCCUUGAGGGAAGGACUUGACAUAUAUUCUUCUUAGUUUCUUGGUAAUGUUACUCUCAGCCUACAACUUUGUCCUUUUCACUUGGACUCUUGGUUGUAUGCCGUCGUUUUAGUGUACUUAUGAGUUAUGCGAUCAAAUGGUGUGGAUGGGUCUUCACAAUGGCCAAGGCCAUAGACAUAACCUGCUGCAAACAUGCAGAUUGAAUAUAUCAUUCUGUUUGCCAAUUAAACAAUAGGGGCAGGUUAAUCCAAUAACACUGGUUUUUUGACAUUUCAACCUGGGGAAGAGGUUGUAGCGAAUUCAUCAGUUCCAUCAUUUGCAUGAUCUCUUGACCUUUUCUCUAAAUGAAACAAACUUUUAUACAUUUGUCAAAAAGAUAAAACCAUCUUUCGAGAUUGCAAUUUGCACAUUCUUUAUAGAUUGGUCUACUUUUACAUGAGACAAGGCUUAGCUACUUUCAAGGGACAUUCUUAUAUGAGACUUGUGAUAACUAGAAGAGAUAUAUUUAGUUUGUACUUAGUUGUGAAAUAAGGGAGAGCUUCUGAAAUUCUGUUUUAUGAAUAACCUUCCAAUAUUGUUGUGAAGCUUUAUGUAGUUUCGGAAAGCCAAAAUUCCUAUUGUUUGAUGGUCAAUGCUGUUCUACCAUAUCUUGUAUAGUAUGCAACUGCAUUCUUAAUGUGUAGAUGCAAACUGCUUUAAUCAUUGAUCUCUUCCUUCUGUUUUCUUUGGGAUUUUACUCUAGGCAAUGGAUGCUCGUGGAUUCAAGAUAACUCCUUGUUCCACAAUGUUUCUGCCUCCGAGUGUUAUCGAGGCUCUAUAUGUUAUUCAUUACCCACAAAGCCAGCACAAGUUUCCACUGUGGAGGAUCUUUUUGAAUUCAUUUGCUCAGGUCCCUUGAUAGAAAAGCUGGGUUUGAGCCCCGAAAGUGUGGCUGAUGCCAUAGAUAAAUGGCUAGCUUAUGGCUCUUACCUUUGUCGAUUGUUCAAAGCUAAUGAAAUGGAGCUCACAAUUCCUCAGAAAGCAAGGUUUUAUCACUACUAUAUACCCGUCUUUUUUUGGUGUGAAGAUCAGAUUUCUCAACACCAAUCCUCAUUUAAAGAAGGAGAAGAAAUACCUCCCUUAGUGGUAAGCUUUUAAAAUUCCGAUAUCUACUUUAUUCUUGUUUCAAACCUGCUUAUUUGAUAUGUUCUUCAGCGUCAAGGAAUUGAGAUGUUUUGCAUGAGGCUAGGCUUUCAUGGAAAUUCUUUUAUUGGAGGCCUAUUGAUUAUGCUGACUAUCACUGUCUGAGCUAAAAAUUUGUUAUCCCUCUGACUACUUGUCUUCAAAUCACUUUGUUGUGCUUGUGCAGAUAGGAUUUAGUGCUCCGCAAGGUUGUGGGAAGACGACACUCGUGUAUGCUCUGAAUUAUCUUUUUGAAGUAACAGGCAGGUAGGCUGCGAUGCUAGUAAUUAUACCGUAACGAAGCUGACCAUCUGCUGAAGCAGUGAUAAAGACUAAAUAAUAGGCAAAAUAUAAUUUCUGACUGAAGUUCUAUCUCAGGAAGUCUGCUAUGUUAUCCAUUGAUGACUUCUAUCUGACAGCUGAGGGGCAGGUUGGUUAGCUAUCUAUGGUGUCUACCGUUUGCUUUCCAUUUGCUGUACUAUUAAUAAACUAAGUUUUACAUGAUAGGCACAACUGAGGGAAAGAAACCCCGGAAAUGCACUUCUAGAGGUAUGUCUCCUCUUAAAUUGUAGACAAAGGAAAGCUGGUUGUACUCAUCUGUAUUUCUUCUGUUAAUUAUUUUCUUCCAUUUUUAGUUUCGUGGAAAUGCUGGAAGUCAUGAUCUCGAACUGUCAGUUGAAACGCUCACAGCUGUAUCCAAGUUGACCAAGGAAGGUCAGCUUCUCCCUCACUUUUGCUUUUGUUUCCCCAACUUUGAUUUUUUUUCUUAUUUAGUUCUCUUUUAAGAUAAAGGUUUAAAGAUGAAGCUUCCCAGAUAUGAUAAAGUAAGUGACAAUACCCAUUCUGUUGAUUUGGUUAUAUACAAUUUCAUCCACUUAUGAUUCUCAAUCCCCUUUGUCCUCUUUGUAAUCCAGUCCGCAUACAGUGGAAGAGGUGACAGAGCUGAUCCUUCCACUUGGCCAGAGGUUGAAGGACCACUUACAGUAAGCAAUCUUAAUUUAACAAAAAGGGAACUUAAAAUUUAUUGCACCUAGCUACAGGAACUUUAAUUUGGUUACCUCUAGGUCGUCCUAUUCGAGGGCUGGAUGCUUGGCUUCAAACCACUCCCCACAGAAGCUGUCACAGCAGUCGAUCCACAGGUUAUAGUUUUUCAAUUUCCAGAACUUAUUUGAUUCUCCCUUGUCUAUCUAUCAUUAGCAUCUAUUUCUAUCUCAACCAUGUACCUUUCAUUCUCAACAAAACGAACUUUCAAAUUUUACAGCUCGAGAUAGUGAACAACAAUAUGAAAGUGUAUUACGACGCUUGGGAUAAGUACAUAAAGGCUUGGAUCGUGAUCAAGAUAAACGACCCCAGUUGCGUUUAUUAUUGGCGUCUACAGGUAAGCUAUUAACAUCAAUUACCAUACAAACCACCUGGGGGUUCGAGAAACUGUUAGGAUACCACCUAACAAGAGGACUCAAGAACACCAAGAACAAACAACAAGAACACUAAAAGAUAAAGAUUGUAUGGAAAUAUACUUAAAAAUAUGCUAUAAUAUCAUAAGAACAAUCAACAAGGUAACCUCUAGCCUUUUGAAAGAGCUAGACUCUCCCAAAUUUGUAACUAUGGAAAUCCCACAAAAUACUUCACCCCCUCCUCUCAACCUACUCCUUCUAUUUCUAACUACAACAUGAACCAACUUAUUGGCUAUUUACCCACUAAUCUUACUGUUUCGAUAACCAGAAGUCUUAAAGAAACCUUUUAAAAACUGCCUGGUCCUGAUGUUAUGAAUUUGCAGGCAGAGAUUGCAAUGAGAGAGGCCGGAAAACCCGGAAUGACCGACGAAGAGGUAACAAUACAGUUUGAAAGCUGCAUAUAAUAAAUGAAAAGGUUUGGGUUUUGUAUGGAUGAGAAGUUGUGGUUUUUGUUUGUAGGUUAGAGAUUUUGUUUCACGUUAUCUGCCAGCCUAUAAGGCUUAUCUUCCCGUGUUAUACUCAGAAGGGCCAAGUGGGUCAGAUCCAAAGCGUCUUCUUGUGGUUGAAAUUGAUGAAGAAAGGAAUCCAAUUCUUGGUUAUUAGGUGGAAAUUUAAAAAAAAAAAAAAAAAAAGUUGGUUUUUUAAGCUUUCACAUCUUCUUUUGACCACCUUUUUCUACCCCUCCCUAUAUGUGGAUAUCACUUUCCUACUUUUCUCUAAAGUAGGAGCUCUUACUUGAUUCAUUCAUUUGUAUCAAUAUGUUUCUCUUAUAUAUAAUAAAUCACAGUAUUUUUCUUUUUGCUAUCUCUAUCUUUCCUAAAUAAAAUAUUUGGGCCUCAACUUUACAAGUUUGGGUCAAUAUGAGCUUGUCAGCCCAAUAGAUGACAGUAUGGGCCUAGGCCCAACAUGCUGGAUUUGUUUGAGCCAAUUCAACUGUAAUGCUUCAGCCCGUGACCUCCUGCUGUGGAUUUAGAUCAUUGCCAUAUUUCUAAUUUCGGUUGGAUAAUUGAGUUUAAUCUUUUGUUUUGAUUUGAUAUUCAAAACUUAAGGUGGGUAUAAUUGGUUCAAAAUUUAAAGUUUGAAAUUUGUGUCAAAUAAGUUUUGGAAUUUUCAUUUUGUGAUUAAUGGGUUUUUGACGUUUUGUGAAAAAAACUAUACAAAUCUAUUAAACACAGGCCGUAAGUUUAUAGUCAUAGGAUACAUAAAAUUCAAUUAUUAUAUAUUAUCAAUCGAGUCUAAAUUUAGAAUAUGUCAAAAAUCUUAACGUUGAUUUAUGUUAUAUUUUUUUAAGUAUAUUUCUUCCACUUUCUCAUUUUGAAUUGUCAAUGGGAAAAAUUGCACCAUUAAAUUACUAAAAAAACCCCAUAGAUUUAAAACUUUGUACCACUUGUCUACAUAGAAAUGGAAUAAUUUUUAUAAAAAGAAAAAACAUGGAAAUAAUAAAAAGAGAAACCAUGUACUUGAUAUAACUCGACAACCUAAAACUAGAAAUCAAUAAUUGAGAAUAAAUACCCAAAAGAAAACUAAACAUAUUCAUAAUAAGAAAACAAACUUCAUACAUUACUAUAAUCUAAUUUUAUAUAUGUCCCUCCUAAAAUAGAAUCACACAUGUGUGACAUUGACAAUAUCAACUAAACAAAAUUAACAGAGAAAUAAUCCUCCUACAUUAACAGUAAUUAUGUCUAUUUUCUUUAAACAAAAUAAAGUCAUAGCAAUUAAGCAAUUCAAAUAUUACAAAAUAUAUAUAAAAACUAAUUAACCGAAAUAUGUUUUUUUUUUUUUGUCUUGCAGAAAAGAUAUUUAUAGAUCCUUAAAUUGAAGGCCGAAUCCUUUGGCUUCAGAUCUCUUCAUUAUCCUCAAUCUCUUGCAAGACUCAAUAAACAUCCUGAAAUUAUGUUAAUUAAUUAAGAUUAGAAUUAGAAUUAAAGAAUAAUUAUAGGAUUGAUUUUUAAAAUGGGAGAAAUUAAUUGAGGGACAAAGUUUGUAGAAUGGGUGACACUAUUAUUAGGGUUUGGUACGUGUCGGUAUCAUGUUUGUGAGUUUAUGUGAAAAUACCAUUUUGGCCCAAGCUUUAAUUUAAGUCUUUAAAAAACUUUGGUUGCAUUUUGUAUUAAUCAAAAUUAAAUUGACUUUGAUGGAAGACUUCAAUUUAAAGCACCGCUAACAACGGUAAUAAAUAAAUAAAACCUAUAUAUAAAGUGAUAUAUAAAUUUAGGUUUGAAUCCUUAACAUAAGACCAUAAUAUAUAAUUAUACCAAUAACGAAAAUUAUAAUCUAUAGUUUACGAGUUAUAUGAUCUUUAGCGUCCACUUCAUUUACAUCUAAUUUUAAAAUUUAAAUAUAUUAAAUAAAGAUAAAAACAUUUAGAAAUAACAUUUUACGUUCUAAACUCAAUUUAUUUCAUAAAACUCUCUCUAGUCUUUUUUUCUUUUUUUAUAUCCAUAACAAAUUUUCUCAUUAAUAUUAUUAUUAUUAAACACAAAAUUGAAAACAUCAAAUACAACUCUACGUUUGAUUAAAUAAAAAAAUUGAAAUUGAUAAAAAGAAAGAAAGAAAAUAAAUAAAUAUAUAUAUAGAGAGAGAGAAAUAAUUGAAGAAAAGGGAAAAGAAAAACUUACUCCCAAGGGACGUCUCCAACAAGCAUCCAGUCCCCAUCUUUGUCUUCAUAAAUGGGAACGUAAUCACAACUUUCUCCAUGCUUUAAUGUCUUCCCUGUCCAUCCAUUUUCCCACUUCUUUCUCAUUAUUUUCUUCUUAUAUUACACUAUACUUUUAAUUCAUUUUACAUUCAUGCAACCAUUCAUUUCAAAUUAAUAUCUCUACUAUUUUAUUUGAACUCGAACACUAUUUUUAUACUUUUAAUUUGUUACUCGAUAUAUUUGGUUGUGUGUGUGUUUUUUUUUCUUCUUCAAAUAAGGUGUAUAUGUUAAUUAAUUACUAGUAUAUAUGAAAGGGCUAAUUAAAUAGAUGUAUAAAUGAAAAUUUAAAUUACCAGUUCCAAAGCAAGCAAAGAGCUUUUCAAGAGCAAGAGCAAGAUCCGAGUAGCCCUUAUGAGAACCCAAGUCAAGUUUACGCAAAAAUGGAGCUCCAUCCAUACUAAUCUUCACGUACAUUUUAGAAUUCUCAUUCUCAUGCAACAACGAGGACGACUCUUUUUCUCCAAAACUGUUUCUUUUUCUAUAUGAACAAACGGGUGGCCACCCCACGACUUGUCCCUUACUCGUCGUGUUACUGUUCUUUCUUCCAACACGAUUAUCAUCGUUGUCUCUUGUUGGCUCGUGAUCUCCAUUGACAAUAUCAUCGAAGGCUCGUUUCUUCUCGUUUUUGUUGCUGUUUCCAGGGAGACCGAGACCGAGACGAAGCUCGGUGAUCUCAAAUCCAAGGGAUUCCUUAGCCAUUUGUUGAAAAGAUAAGGGGUGUUUAAUUUAGAAAUAUUCGGGGGAAAAAUGAGAAGGGGAUUGGAAAUUGAAAGAGGGAUAUAUAGAAGAAAUGAAGAAAGGAGUGGGGAACAAUGACAGGUCAACUAAGGGGUUAAUGGUCGCGGAGAUGAGAAGCAAAGGUGGGGUCUUGGUGCUCCCUAAGACACUAUUAAGGACCGGCACAAUAAGUUGGAUCAACCACUUAUGUUUAGGGUUUUUUCUUUCUCUUUCUUUCUUUCUUUCUUUCUUUAAUCUUAUAAAUAUUUCCUCUACUCUUUAACUUCAUCAUUCUUGGAUUCAAUCCAAAUCGAUAUGAGUUCAUCUAUACACACUUUCACACCGUAUUAAAUUCAUAAACAUGAGAUUUCAUUUCAAAAUCUCAAAAUCAACUAGUAACACAUUAUCUUGUAAAGAGUAUAACCAAGGUUAUUGUUUUAUGGAUUAUUUGUUCUAUUCAUUCUUACAUAGCUCAUUCAUUGAACCAAAUGAUUGAUUUGGAUCGUAGUUGCAAUGUGAAAUUUAUUGUAUUGCUUUUAAAAGCAAUAUCGAUACGAUCUUAUCGUCUCAACUUGGUUGUUGUCCAAACAAAAGAGAGCUUAUUUUGCUCAAACUUAGAAAGAAAAAGAAAAAGAAAAAGAAAACAACAAAAUGGUAAGAGGGAAAGAAGAUAAAGUAUUAUGUGUGUAUUCCUUCAUAAUUGAAUUUCUAAAAAAUACAGAGAGUAAGGACGAUAACAAAGUUAUCAAUCAAUACUAUAUUACAUUUGCUAUGCAUCAACUGCCACAAUUUUGGGAAACUUUAAACGUAAGAGUAGUAAAAAGACAUUUUCCUCUUUUACGUGUAAAUGUGAUUGAGGGUGACCAAUAAAGCUGUUUCUUAAAUUAAUCGAACUGAAUUGAAUACUCAAUGAAACAAAAAAUUCAGCUUGAUCCGGUUUGAAUAAGUUAGAAACUAAAUUUACAACCAAACCGCACGGUUAAAAAGAGUAAAACCAAAUUAAAAAUGGAACCACAACAAAAAUGAAUUUAAAACCCAAUUGAAUCAAAUUGGAGUGGUGAAGAUAUAUUCUACUACCAACACAAUCAUAUAAGUCUUGGUGUGUAAUUAAAUAAACCCCAAGUAAAUCAGAACCUUCUAAUUUGAGACUACUUUUCUCAAAAUCUUUUGCCACAGAGCAUAAACCCAAGCCAUUCCCAACAACUUUAUAUUUACAACAUACUCAUCUUUUCUUUGGUAGAAGUUAGUCAUAUAUAUAUACAUGCCUGUGUAUGUGUUACUUUUUAAAAAAUCAUGUGCCUCAACUCACAUUGAAACAUAGAAAUAUCCUAUCCCCUUUCACCAUUUCACUUUUUGGAAGAAAAUCUCUCAUGUUUCUAUGUAUAUUAGGGUUUUUGACCGUAAAUGACAUGUAUGGAGUUAUACUUUUGGAAAAUGAGUAUCAAUUAACAUGUGAAACAUCUAUCGUCCCACGUUCUUUUUAGUUUUGAUAUAUAAAGCUUAAAAGAAAUAUACAAAUUGAAUACAAGAAUAUAUCGAAAAGGAAAUAGUUGAAAGAGAUCUCAAACCCAAACAAACAUUAUUCAAUAAAAUUCAAAUAGUUAUUCAUCAUUCUAUCUUUUAAUUAAUCUUUUACUAUAUACUUUGAAAUUAAUUAUUGUAACUAAAUCAAUCAUAUACAUAAUAUUUGAUAUGCUUUUUUUUUUUCCUAUUUCAUAAAUCCUUCAUAAUUGAUCCUUUAGCAUAUGAAAUAAUGAACAAAAGAAAGUACUCAUUAUUUCAAACAAAAUUAUCUAAGCUUUAUGAUUUCUAUUGUGUGUGAAGUUUGUUUACCUUUUGAUUUUUAAUUGAAUUAUUAAAUUUUUAAUGAAAUAUUCUAAAUCUCAAAAACAAAUAAUUAUUUAAGAAAAUUUAAUAAAACUCAUUAAUUAUUUUGAUGGUUAUAUACACAAAAAAUCAAUAUAUAUAUAUGAUAUAUAUAUAUAUAUAUAUAUAUAUACACGAAUGAUGGUAUUGUCGGAAAAUUUGUUUAUUAAUUUUAGUUAUUGUUUGAUUCCAUAUUAUAUUGUGCAUGAACAAAAUGAUUUUGGUAGAAGGAAUUUCAAAAUACACUUUUGUUGGAAAGAAAUGAAAAAGGAAUUAAAAAAGAGAAGUGCUUCAUAAUCAAUGGAAAUUAAAGAAGGAGAGAAUCAUUUGAAGAAGAUUUGGGUGUGCAAAAAUAAUAAUGAAAUAAACCAAAGUUGUAAUUCCUCACACUAAUUAUGUCUCAAAUCAAAUUAUUAUCACAAAUUAUUCAUACAUUUUCAAUCUAUUUUACUCCUGAUUUCUAAUAUUUCUUGAAAGCAUUAAGCUAAAUUCAAUAAAUCAAAUCUCCCUUUUUAGUUCGAUAACAUCAAAACCAUUUAAAUUAUAUAUAUAUACACAUAUAUACAAACACAUUUGAAUUUUAUAUAAUUAAUAUAUGGUUUUCUUCUUAUUUUGUCGUCAUGUUUUCAAAUUUUUUAAUUUUGUUUUUUAUAUUGAAAGUUUUCUAAACAUAAAAUCAAUAAAUAUUAACAAUGAAGUGAUAAUUUUUUUUAAAAAAAAACUAGUUAUAUGGUUUGUAUUGUAUAUAAUUAGUAAUGUUUUUAAUAGUAGGCCCAACUAGGUCCCAUUUGUUCUAUGAGCCCACAUUUUCCAUAUUUAUUUUUAAAAUUUUGAGUACACACAUUUUCUAUAAUUAGUCAUGUUGAGUUGAUAUCAAUUUAUAAAUUGAAAUAUAUAAGAUGUGCUUCUAUCUAAAUAUCAUAAUCACUUUGGUUCACACAUCCAAAAUAGAUAGAUUUAACGUUAAUUAAAUAUAUUUAAAUCUUUAAAAAAACAAUUUAACUAUCCUAUAUAUUUAUUAUUUUUACAGUUCAAAAUAGACCAUUAAUUAUGCAAAAAAAAAAAAAAUGGAUAGUACAAAUUAAUGAGAUAUAUUAAUUUAACCUUUGAGAAAUUAAUAAAUAAUGUGAUUCACAUAAAUAGUUUUUAUAUACAAUAGUCAAUAAAUUAAAGCAUGUUAUAUGUAGGGAUGAAGAACAACAUAUAGUCAAAAUGACCACAUAACACAUGAUUUGAUGGAAAAUUAAUAAAGAGACUCCUCAUCAACAGCUUUUAUUUCUCUCUGUUUGUUCCUAUUUAAUCUUAAUUAGUAGUUAAUUUCAAGAAGAAAUUAUUAAACUUCUUUCAACUUUUCGUUUGUUAAUUACUUUUUCAUUCAAAAACUCAUAAGAUUAAAAGGUUUUACUUACGGAUGUGAGCUAAUACAUUGUGAAGACGAUAUGUUAAAUUUAAUAAAGUACAUGAUUUCUCGAUUUGGAAGAGGACGUAAUUAACACAUUCUCUAGAGACUACUCUUUGUUGUUUUCUUCGAUUAUUGUCCGUUUCGAAAUACCAAAAGCGAAUAGUGUUGUUAAUGCAGUAUGUAAGUGUGUUAUAGUAAAGUUAAGUAAUGGAGUUUAAUUUAGAGAGAGGGAAAGAGAUAGAAGGUGAGAGAAAGAAAGAGAAAUGUUUGUUAGCAACCGAGCAUAUGUUUCCUUGGAGUUGGACAAGAGAAGAAGAGUGAAAGAGUGAAAGAAAGAAGAAGAGAGAAAAGGCAUAUCCCUAAGAGAAAGGCACACGUGAUAGAGUUGGUCUCCCCCAUAUCAUAAGGUCACCAAUGUCUAAUUUUGGUUCUUUAACUCCAACCCAUUCCAUUUACACAAUUAGACCAUAAAUAUUAUUUAGAUUUCGCCUCUCAAUAAUAUCGUCUCUACCACUUCUAAAUCAAAACAGGACCCAUCACUCAACUUUCUUCUAUACCAUUUUAUGGUUAUUUUCAUUCCUUAAAUCGUAUGAGAGAGAAACAGCAAAAGUAUCUCAAAUUUGUAUCUAGUGGUUAUUAGAAAACUAUACAUAUAAACUUUUUAAUAUUUUCUCGUUUAUCGUUAAAGGAACAAUUAAAUAUAUUUACGAAAAUUUCUUCAAAAUUUCUAUUUUCUUGGCUAUUUGUUGUAAGGAAAGUAUAAGCAUAUGAUGAUGCUUAGUUAUAUUAUUACAUGUGAGAUGUUUCUCAUUUUUCUUUUCUUUUCUUAAGGUUUAGUAUGGAGAUAAUGACAUUAAUUAUUAAACUUCUCCUUUACCAUUUACUUUUCUUUAGUUUGCCUUUUAAAUUCACCUUUUUUUCACCUAAGAACUCAUUGUAUAUAUACUUAGGUCUUUUUAUAAUGGUUUCAAUCUUAGUUUUAUGAAAUUAAUGCCAAUAUUUUUCUAGAAAAAGAAAAUCAAAAUUUCUAGCCAAAUUAUAAAACCCAAAAAUACUUUUAAAAAUAAACUACUAUUUUUAUACUCAUUUUUAAAAUCUUUUAAACAUUAGUAAAAAGUUAAUAACAAAAUGUAAAGCUUAUGAGUCAAAGAAUAAGUAAUGUUUAUAAUCAUUAUCUUUAUUUUAAAAACCUUUAAUAAAAUACAAAAUUACUAUCAACUUGUAAACCUGAAAACUAUUUUUCAUAUAUUAUUAUAUAUAGGGAAAAAAAAAAAAACUUAAUUCAAAUGUUUAUAAUGGGCACCGCCUUAAAAGUAUUUAAACAACCAACUCAAAAUCACUUUAUGUUAUAAUAAUUACUUUCUCACCCAAGCACUUUAGAGCAAUAUUUUUCACUUUAUUAGAAAAAUUUAUCCAACGUAUUUGUAAAACGAAACGUUCAAAAUACAAUAUAUUUUUUUUCCUUGAAGAUAUUUGCAUGGAAAAGUUAAAUUAGUGAAAAGAAAAAGAAAAAAAAAAACUUUUGAAAAUCACUUUUGGGCUUUUAUGAAAAGUGUCGGUAGAUUAUGUACAUACCUUUGUUUUUCUUUUUGCAAAUAUAUCAUUUCCAUUAGCGUUGGACAAAUAUAAAAAAGAAAUUAUUAUAUCAAGAUAAAUAUAUAUUAUGAUUUUUUAUAAAUACCCAAUAAAAUGCUCCUAUUUUAUUUUUCUACCAAACAAAUGAAUUGAAUUUUUCAUAAAAAUAAAUAAAAUAUUUUAUCUUCUCUCUCUAAAUUAUAGCUUAGCUUUAAAAAAAGAAAGUAAGACAGCAUAUUUGUUUUGAAGGAGGACUUGAGGGUUGAAUCUAUAUAAUUAGCUAAAAAUUAAAAACAUCACACAUGGCAAGUGUCACAUGUGUCUAUAUAUAUAAUAAUAAUACUAUAUACUACAAACAUUAAUAUGCAAACCAAACAAAACACUAGUUACCUAUUUUAUAUAUCGAUUCAAUUCAUUUACAAAUUUCUUUCAUUUAUAUAUUUUUUAAUUAUUUUAUAAUAAAUAUAUCGUAGAAUUUCAACUUUAUAACCUUUUUGUUCUAUGCACGUUUUAUUCGUGAAAUAGAUCUCUAAAUUACUUUUGAGAAAAUAAAUCUUAAAAUUGAAGUUUAUUCUUCUAUUUUUGCCACUUCAUAUGAUAAUACAUUUUAAUACAAGUUCCAAUUCUUUUUAUUAAUUUUUUUUCUUUCUACAAAUAAUCAAACAAGUGAGAGAUUUCUAUAAAAGUCUAAGUUCAUCUACCUUGACAAAAAACAAAGAGUUUUCUUAAAUCAUACGCAAGAUAACGUUCUAUCAUUUAAAAAAAAAAAAAAACUUGAUUUAGAAAAUCAAUCAAGAAAUUGAAAAACAAAUAAUGCUGCAAUUGAUCCCUAAAUAACUAAAGAGGGGUUGGGUGAUUAAAAGGAAAAGCAGAAAUUGGGUAAAGCAAUUUAAAGAACAAAGUGAAACAUAGAAGUGGGCCAUGUGUUCGGACGCGGUUAAGAAUAUGGGCCAAGGUUUGUUUGAAUUUGGGCCGAUAUGUAAUCUUUGAAAAGUCCGGACCCAACAAUGGCCCAUAAACUCCAACAGAUGGAGACUCCACUCCACUCCUUUGUCUUUUCUUUUAUAUCUAAUUUUAAAAAUAAUAAUUAAGAAUAUAACAAUAUUUUUAAAAAAUUAUAAAUAUAACGAAACUAUAAAUGAAUAGAUUUUUAUUACUAAUAGACUCGUAUAGUCUAUCAAUAAUAGAAUAGUAUUUGCAACAUGAUCUAUCGGUUUCUAUCAUUGACUAAUUUUGUUAUAUUUAUAAAAAUUUUAAAAUGUUGCUAUAUACUUAAUUAUUUUGAAUCUAAUUGUUAAAUUUGCAACUAUCUAUUAUAACUAUAACAUAACUUAAAAUCAUAUAUUCAAAUUUUCAUUCUCAUAAAUAUCAUGGAUUAUGAAAUUAUAAUAUUUAACAUCUCAUAAAAAUUGAAACAAUGGUGUUAAUGUCAACAAAUUCAGUUGCACAUUCAUUUAUUAAAUUUGCACUUUUGAUCUCAUAAGUUACAUUUCCCUACAGCUUAGUCAUAUGAAAAUAAAAAUUGAAAAAUGAAAAAUGGAUUGAAUGAAAUGAAAUUAAAGUAAGUAGAGAAGGUAAAUUUAUCUUUUUGAAGUUAAAUGGAAUAUGGUGUCCAAAGAGUUGUUGCUCGAACAAGUUCAAUUCCCUCGGAUAGGACAGAGUGGUGGAGUUUGAUGAAAUUUUCUCUAACGAGAUAGUUUCCAUUGGAAACGGUAUCAUUUUGAAUAGGCAUAGACAAAGAUUGCAACUUUUUGCCAACUCCACAUUCUUUAAGGUAUUUGAUUGUUAGAGCUGAAAGCCAAUGACUUUCUAGCACCCAUCCAGGAGUUCCCUGAAACCAUCAAGAAAAUGGUGUGAGUGCUGUAAAAGUUUCUAAUAAGUGUUUUUGUAUAAUUAAGAUCUAUGAGGUGACACGUCACACGUGAUAGCUUUUUACAUAAGGAUUUAAGGAUUUUCUUUUUUCUUUCAAAUGUAUUAAAUUUAUGUGUGGAUAGUGGAAAUACUACGUCGGUUGAGCUAUUCUAUUUUUGACUUUUUUUUUUAUUUUAAGAAAAGGAGUUAUGUUCAUGUUUGAGUGUGUAUCCGAUUCGUUUUCUUUUUUACUAUAUGUGGAAUGAAAGAAUUAAAGUUAUAAUAUACCAGUUGUACUCAAAUACAUAAAUUUUACAUAUAGUUCUUAGUAAAUAAAAAAAAAGUAAUUUCAAAACGUGUUGAGGUGAUACAAAAGGAGGAUAAAAAAUAACAUACCUCAAGGAUGAAGUUGAUAUAACUUGCAUUAUUUACAUGAUGGUUCAUAUCCAAAUCACUCAGUCUCGUCUGAAUUUUUAAAAAAAUGUUAUUACUAAUAUAGAAUAAACACAUACAACAUCCAAGAGUAUAGUAACAUAAAGUCUAUUAGAUAAACUCUUAAUAGUCUAUCAAUGAAUUAUAGAUUAUUACUUAAAAUAUGGUUUAAUUAAUGAUAAACUAAUAUUUACAGUAUGAUCUAUUAUGGAUAGAUUUCUAUCGUUGAUAGACUAUGACAAACAUUGCAUCAUCUUAUGAUUGACCAAUAUUUGUAAUUUUUUUUUUAAAGAUAUUGAUAUAUAUAUAUAUAUAUAUAUAUAUAUAUAUAUAUAUAUAUAUAUAUAAUCAUUUAGUUUUUGUUCUUGGGAAUUGAGUUUAAAACUUAUUAAUUACCACUAAAGAUGUGCAAUUGCAACCCUUUGCAUGAACAUCUAGUUUUGUUGAGAUGAUGUUAUCUUCUUCAAUGAUGGGAUCACUGUGCAAGAAGUGGGGAUUCAUUUCUUCCUUCAUUUCAUCAUAAAAUUUUGAUAAUUUUCUUGUCUUUCUAUUCAUCAAAACAUAGAAACUGCAAAACCACACAUUCAUUAGUGAUCGACUUUGAAGGAUUUUCGUCAACUUCCCUACCCUCACUUUGUACUAAAAAAAACUUUGAAGAGUUUUUUUUUAUUCUUUUUUAUUAUUGUUAUCAAAAGAAAGAAUAAACGAACAAAUUACCAAGAAGCACGGAUCAAAACUUGACCAGUUUUAUAGUUACGGACAAUCCAGUCUCGACGAUAACUAUUUUUCCCAUGAACACAACUCCAUGUUCGUAGUUGAACAAUGUCAUUCCUUUAAAAGAAGAAAAAUAUAUAUGUAGAUUAUAUAUUACAAAAAUACCAAAAAUGAAUUUUUGUUACGACAAAACUACUUGUUAAAAUAUUUAAAAUUACCAAGAAGGAUAUUGGUCCACCACGACUUGCAAUUUAUGAACAACCCAUAUGAGGCCCCUUUUAGUCAUUCCCGGUGUUGUGCCUAAUCCUGUCGUCACCAAUCCACAACUUUUCAAGUGGUUUAGUUUUGACUCCUAGUGAAAAAAACGCUUUCAUCAUUUUCAAAAUCAUUCGAAAACUACUUGAAAUAUAUACACGUUCAAAACUGUAAAUUUAAACUCACACCUGUAAUUGGUUGAUGAUGAAAAACAUCGUCAUAUUUUUAUCAGGUCCUGACUCGUAUGAUUUUACCAAGAAAUGACGUUGAUAAACCAAACCAUCAUUAAGUAACUCUCCCAUAGUUAGGUUCCCAUGAGUUAUGUCAAGAUUUCUUGACUCAUAACUAUUAAUCUUUCUAACUUCACCUUCCAAAAAAAAUGAAUGAAUCAAUUAUAUCUUUCUUCUUCACAGAAGUGUUGAAAAAUAAGAAAGAAACUUUAAAAUCUUACUUGCAAUGGAGGACUUAGCAAUGAUAUUAGAAGUUCUGAGCCCUUCUAAGCAAAAUUUGGGAUGAUUUUUGAGCUGCAAAUUACCUCUAUUUGAAUCUCCAAAUCUUUGUUCUUUCUUCAAAUUUGAGUUAAAUUCCUCACCAAAAUUACAACAAUAUGAUGAAGAAAUUGCAGCCAUCACCAACUUUUGCACAAAAAAAAUAUUUGAUGAUAGAAAUGGAGCAUUGGAAGAGAGAAGAGAAUUAUCAUUUAUAAGAGAGAUUUUUUUAGUUAGAUUUAAUUUUGUUCAGUUUUUACAUUUCUACUAACUUAAACCUUCAUAAUUACCAUUGAUGGAUUGUUUUCAUGAAUUUUCAGUUUAAAGAUGUUAGAAGACAUUCAUUGUUCUUAUAAAAUUGAUGCUGAGUUUUGUAUCUCAAUCAAUUCAUAAUUGUUUUUGUUUUAUUUUCUUCUUCUUUUAAAACUAUAACUCUCUCUAUGUAAUUUGAUGUAAACAAGAGAACCAAUUUCAUUAAGAUGACAAAAAAAACGUCAUCAAAUACAAAGCAGUUUGCAUAUAUAUAUAUAUAUAUAUAUGCAGCAAUUUCUGACCAACAGCCAACUAGUACCAACUAAACAAAAAUCCAAGCCUAAUAUUUAACCAAAAUCUUGUCUACAUUUUUCGUUAGUAAGCUUAUUAAAUUUGGAUUAUAUGUCACAUAAGUCAUUCAAGAGGUCUUAGUUAUGAUGCAAAAUAGCCCUAGGUGCAUAUUGUAAUUAUAAUUCAAUUUGGAGAUGCCCUCGAUAACAAUAUUUAAAUAAAGUAUGAGAUUUGAACUCUCCAUUUUUUUAUGUCAAACAAAAAGCACAUAACAAUGACUAUUUGCUUACCUCACAGAUACAUAGUUUAUAACCGUUGUUUUAAGUUCUAAUUAUUUGUCUAAAAUAGGUUUAUUAAAUAAAAAUAAAGAUUUUUCUUCUUCUACUGCAUGACAUUGGAGAAAUCUCAUGGUUGUGUUUAUCUUAGUAGUUUAAUUUGAUUACAUCAAAUUACGAAAAAAAUCAAAAGUUUGAUUCUUCCACCAACAUAUUAAACUAAAAAAGAUGUCAUUCAUCAUAGUAAUGCUUAGUAAAUAAAAUAUGAUACUAGGGUCAAUAAUGAUAUCAAAUACUUUUUGGUUGAGAAAAUACUAAAAUAUCCAUACAGAGAAUGUCAACAUGCAUCAGCUAAUGUUUUAGCUUUCUAUAUUCCUUGAUGGUAACUAAUAUGUAAAUUGGCAAUGGGCGACUCAACGACUGAAAAACCGAUAUGCAUUGAUGAUAUAUUGAUAUCAACAGAUCUUUGUAUAAGUUAAAAAUUAAUCAAAUACAAAAAAAAAUAGAUCAGUAAUUCAAUGGCAAAAAUUUCCAUAUAUGGUGUUUAUAUAACAUGGCAAUCAGUGAAAUGGAGAAAGGUACAUCUUUAAGUUUAGUAUGUGUAUGUAGCAUAAUGAUGUAUCCAUGGAGGAUAUGGAGAAAAAAGAAAACUAGCUCUUAAACUAAAUAUAACCUCAGAGAUAUUGGAUUGGAGCAAAACCCAUAUAACAUCCUUGUGUCUAAAAUCUACAAAAAUUGUGAGCAACUGAAAAUGUCAGACCCUCCAAAUCCAAUUGGGAACUGAAGUUAUACACAUUUGCAGAAGGAAUACAUAUCAGUGAAUUGGGAAAAGUAGAAGAAAUGGGUAAAAAAGAAAAAUGAAAGAGGAAAAAUGAAAAGAAAAAAAAAAAAAGAGAGAGCAAAACAAGAUCUUCAACAAACUACAAACCGGAGCAUCACAGCUAGCUAUGAAAAUCUAGCAUGUGAUGGUGGUUGUUGAUUCUUUGCAAGUAAUUAACAGAUUCUUGGGCAGCUUUCCGAAUGAUGUGCUUUUGAAUCAUCCAAGGACAAUAUCAUCUCAAAAAUUUAACCUGCAAAUGCAGCAAUAUCUUACCUUACAUGUUUGAGCAUUAGGCAUCACCGUCAAAUCGUAAGCUCCUUGAACCCAUCAAUCUUUCCAUUAUCUGAAAUGGAGUUGGCACUUUGAUUGGCACCAACCCUUUCAGCAUCUUUGAAUAUUUGAUUGUUCACUGAGUUCGGUACGGCAGAACUAAGACUGCCUUCAAAGUAUGUCGAGUAAGGGAAUAACUCCAAACAUCGGGUUUUCCAUCCUAAGUAGAAUUCACAUAAGCAACACACAACACUAGAUUAGAAUAUAAUUAUAUGCCACCACAUACUAUUUGGUCAAAUUUAUGGCCAAUAAUAUAAAUCCAUUCAAAACUUUAGGAGUGCACACUAUGACUACAACAUUGGACACAUGAAUUGGCAGGGAUCUACACUUACUUGAUGCGGCAGCAUGGUCAAUAAGGACUGUUUCCAGGAGCUUGUGAACGGCUAUGCACUCCUUGAGCGUCCACUCCUUAAUUGGCCCAAGUGCCCCAUUUCUGAUAAAACCAGAUCUCAAUUCCAUUACUAAUGCGAAGCUAAACAUAUAGGCAUAUGCAACAUAAACAGAAGUUAAUAGGACUCGGGAGGAUGUAUUAACCUUGGCACUAUGCCGUUUGUUGACUCUUCAAUCAAUUUGAUAGCCUCAGAUUUUCUCUGAGGUUCUAAUAAAUUUAGCAUUUCUGCAACUGCAGCUCUGUGCAUUAAGGAAUCUGCAAUUCGAAUAACGAUUGUUUUAGAAGCCAUAAAAAGCAUACCGCAGUACAUCUGGGGAGCAGUGGGCUCAGAAGCACAGAUGCAAACACAUUGCGUGAUGAAUAUAUGAAUCCAAGCACAUCAUGGAGCUUUCAAAGGUUAAGAAUUGUAUUUGGGAAGUGUACAAGUAUGUCCUGGAGUGGGUUUUUUUUUAAUGUUUAUUUCACCAUUACUCUUUCAAGGACGUUCAGAGUUGAAAAGGGUCUGAUGUUUUAAUUGUUUGUAUUUAUAGGUUACUUUGGAACUUGAGAAAUAAGACGUACUUUCUUGAUAAUAUUCCAAUAUUCAAAAUGAAAAUUUCUGUUUUCACCAGGCGAGCGCCCCCAAAAAAAGAAAAUGAAGAAGAUAUGAAGUGGUCAAGAACAAGAUAUCCCAUGCAUAAUUAAAAUAAUGGUUUAUGGAACUGCAAUCCAGUGGAUGAUAACCUUUGUGUUUCUCAAGGAAAACUUCAUUCGCCUCCAUCAAAGAUCUUCCAUGCACUUGACUGCAGCAGGAGAAGAUAAAACCAUUUAGAGUAAACCACAGAGUGAAUAUUAGGUGUAACUCAAAGAAGUUCUAAAACCUGAUCAGAGGACGCUCUGCAUCUAAGACACUCCAAACAAGUUUUUCAGCAUCAGUUGUUGGAGCAGGCAUUGAGUCCACCUUGCAGAAGAACUUGAUCUGCAAACAAGUACAUAGGGCCAAAAAACCACAACAUUCAUACAAGUUAAAGAAGCACACAUAGAAAACACAGAUAUAAGCCUUUUCAGACAAUAAAACAUUUAUUUAUAAAAUAUUGAUCAAAAUAAAGGAUACAACACAAAUAUAGAAUUUAUUAUGAAGUUCCAUGAAUUUGAAAGCGCAUGUGAUAGCAGAAUUUGGUCGCAAAAUUUUGAAAAUUUAAUGGAAAUCAAAUAAUAUAUUGAAUUGUAUUUUUGAGACUUGUCCAAGAUGUUAAAGGAAAUAGAGAAAGUAGGUUUAGAGAGAGUAGUGAAGGAUGAUUGCUAGGUAUAUAUAUAUAUAUAUAUAUAUUAUAUAUCAUGGUAUAAAGAUCUGAUUGCACACACAUCGCCUAUUCUCAAACACAAGUGUCUUGCCUACUAUAUUUAGUCUUCAGAGCAGCCUGCAGGAUAUUAAAUUGGGUUGACCACCCUUUACUUCCACACUGACCCUUGUUAACCACUAAGCCAAACCAUCUUGUCUAUCUUGUCAAUAAUGAGGUGCCAUAAGAUAGAGAGGAGGGCCCACAACCAUGGAUGGAAAGGGAUACCAAUCUAAGAGAUGGAGAGGUUACAAGAUUGAAGCCACUUGUCCAUCUCAACAUAGAGUUGAAAGAGAUAACAAGCUAGAGAGUAGAGAGACGGAUGGGAUACUUGGAGGGAAAAAGUAGAGGAUGAAAGAUGCUUAGAACAAGAGGCUAUGAGUUGCAAGAAAACACAGAUUCCUUUUUCAUUCCAAUUUCUAUACCUCGCUCUGUUUUUCUUUUUUAUUAUUUUUUUAAAGGAAACAUUUUAUUGAUGUGAUGAAUUUACAAUACUUAUGAAAAAUGAAACUCCAAAGGGCUACGAAGGGUGAUAAAUUGAUUUUAAAGAGAAUUUAAUUAACACCAAGAAGCAAUAGGUAUAUAUAAUAGAGGAGAAGAGAUAGAGUUUCAUGCCCUUUUUCAGUGAAGAUAAUGAACCACAAAAAGUUGUUUAGCCAAAGGUUUUUUUAACCUUUUUGAAAGGGAUGUCCAAAGCAUGAUGGAAAGGAGAUCCCAAAUGUCAUAUUGAAUGGCAGUGUGCCAACCAAAACGCCUUCAGAAUCAAAUCUGAAAAGGAUCUAGCAAAGGUACAUAAGCUGAAAAGGUGGAUGAGAUUUUCAACAUCUUUUUUUGCACAAAAAACAGCAGCUUGAAGGAAUAUUUAGCCAUGAAGAUCUUCGUUGGAGCCUCUCGCGGGUGUUUAGAAAAACUAAACAGCAGUUUUUUGUUAUAAUUUUGAAAUAAUUAAUUAAAAAAAGAAAAAAAAAAGUACUAUAAAAAUAGACUCGUUUUUUAGAACAAUCAAUCUCACAGUGUAAAGUAGCCAUAUAGAACCUACUGGAUUAAAAAACAUUAAAGCAAGAAAAAAAUAUAUAUAUUAUAUCAAACAGCCUCCAAGUAGCUAUGAAACUAUUCACAUUUCACGAAACAUACCAAACAACGAUGUGAAUCUGGGUGUUCCACGUCCAACCUUAAAAGCUGCUUUACAGCCUACAGGAAAGCAGCAGCACAAAAACAUAAUAAAUAUAAUAAAACUGGGAACAAAAGGAAAGAAUAGCGGGCUUGGGGUUUAAGUCACAGCUAGAUCAAUUAUUUUUAUAAAAAAUAUCACUCAGAAAAAUUAAAUAACUGCCUUAUACUACAGCUAGGGCCAGUAUUCUGAAGAAAAGCAGGGGGGAAUUCCAAGAUCUGUAUUUUAUACGUAUCACAUACCUGGAAGGCAAGCAAAAUUUUCUGCCUUCUUAUGUUUACUUCAAAAGAAAGUACGUGUGUGUCCAAGAAAUCGGGAGAAUGCUUCUGAAGUAACUUCAAGUACUUUGUAGCCUCCAGUAAUGGAUCUUCAACCUAUAAGAAAAUUAAAUGAAAUUUAUGAAACUUCACAAACUGGCCCACUCACAUACAUAAACACAGACAGAGAACAACCUGCACCAACUUUUCUCCAUGCGGGUCUGUAUCAACAGGCUUGACAUGUCGUUUCCCUGACUUUGAGACACCGGAAUUAUUUGUUUCUUCAUUCUUCACAUCUGCCUCCUAAUAUGAAACAGAAUAUAUUAGAAAUCAACAGAGAGAUAGCAUCCCAACAAAAGGCAAUAAUAAACCACAAUACUUUCUUAGCUCGUGCUUCGGCCUUUCUUUGUUUUUGCCUCAUCUUCUUUUUCUGAGAAGGAAGCAAAUUUGACAUAUCAUCAUCCUCUCCCGUACUUGAUUUUGGAGGAGAGUCAUAUAAUUUGAUAUAGCAUCUGCACCUCAAAUUUGAAUAAAAUGUUAUGACAAAAAAUAAGAGAAGACAACUCACAUAGAAAACAAACUACACAAACAUUUUUCCAUUUUUCUAGGAGGGAAAGGUAAGAAACCAAGUAAACUUUCUUCAAAAUAGCGGAGAAGGAAGAAUGCAAAUAUGAUAGGGCGAACAAAAGAAUAAAUCUCUUGAUAGGUUAGACUUCUCAAGGCUCCCGAGCAAUGUAAUUGUUCCUUUUAUCCUUCUUCAAACUAAAGUUUCAAUGGCCUUUGUUAUUUGCAAACAUUUUUGUAACCCAAAUCAAUGAAACAUCAGAUUCACUAUUUUUGGGAGGGUAAGAAACUGAACAAACAUCACAUCUCAUUAAAUUUUAUCGCUAACUUUUUAUUUCUUAAAAAAUAACAAAGUCUUGGGGCCUUCUGCCUAAAAUUAUGUAUACACUUGGCUACAAAUUAAGGAGUAAGGUAUUAUAGUUCUGGAAACUUCUCAGUUCGAAAUCUUGCGUUGAUCUUUGGCAAUUGAUUGAACACGUCCACUAGAUCGUAUUAGAUCUUUCAUAAUCUUUUUGUGGUGUGCUUAAAAGGAAAAUUAGAUUCAUAUCAAGGCAAUGGCGCAAAAUUGAUUCAUUGUCUCUUUUCAAAUUAGGUGAUGGUAGCAAAAUAUUGUUUUGGAAGCACCCUUGGAUGGACAUUAUCACUUUGGAGUGUAAAUUUACAAGAUUGGUUAGAAUCGCACUCAAUCCAAAUGGGUCUGUUUUAGAUCAUUGGGACUCUUCAACCAACUCUUGGUCCAUCUAUUUCAGAAGAUUGCUUAAUGAUGAGGAAAUAUUAGAUUUUCUGACCUUGUUGAAUCGGAUUUCUUCUUCACAACAAGCCUCCUUUCCAGAUGAAGGUUUUGGUCCCUUGAAAACUCAGGUUUCUUCUCGGUAAAAUCACUGGUUAAGCAUCUUUCGACAUCUUCUCCUUUGGAAAGUUCUUUGUACAAAAGGCUUUAGAAAUCUAACAGUCCAAGAAGGAUAGAUAUAUCCAAGAAAGCUUUCCUCCCAUGCCCUCUCACCUCAUGCUUGCCCUCUUUGUGUUAAACAUCCAGCAUCUUUUAUUUGAUUGUCUUUGCAUCUAAAUGUUGGUUCCGCCGUCUCCAAGCAUUCAAUUUUUGUUGGGUUUUGUGUCAUGUUUUUAAGAACAAUGUGUCUCAAAUUCUUGCUGGUCCAGACUUGAAGAAGAAGACAGCUGAAUUAUUGUGGGCAAAUGCAGUAAAAGCACUUUUAGCUAAAUUUUGGUUUGAAAGAAACCAAAGAGUUCCAUGAUAAGUCAACUUGGUUGAAACGCUAUGACUCUACUCUUUUGAAUGCAACUCCAUGGUGCUCAUUAUCUAAAUAUUUUCAGGAUUACUCUUAGCCUCCCCACCCUGAAGUUCUAGAUUAUAAUGCCUUCCGAAUCAGCCUUCUGCUCCAAUCAGUUUUUGCUCAAUCAAGGAUUAUUAUUUUUGUUUUAUAUUCGGCUUGCUGCCUUGCUUAUGUUUCUGUUUUUGAUAGUUUUUUCUUCCAUCUCGUUUGGCCUUGUAUUGUGGUCUUUGAUUUGAUAUUGUAUGCUUUUAGAAACCUGGUAUAUGGGUUUUUUUUCACUUUUUGGAUGUGAUGAGGGCACUAAGGGGGAGUCAACCUAGUUGAGAUGCCUGGGUGGGCCUGCUGAUCUUCCCCUCCCCCCAUCGCUCUAUGUAUACCCCUUAUGUACAUUGAGCUUUUUCUAUCUAUUUUCAAUAUUAAUAAUAGUAUCCUUUUCAAAAAAAAAAAAAAGACAAAUUAGAGAAACCCCUAAUUAGUUUAUUCACCUUCUCAUACAUGUUCAAUAUUUUAUUCUUUUCUUAUUGCGUUUAGAACAUAGGCUUCUAACAUGAAGAGUCGAAAUGCAUAAAAUUUAAAUGAACUUGAAGAAAUAUAUUUUGAUAACAUUUGCCAUCAUGUCCAAGUUCUUAGAAAUGGUAUAUCAUUAUGCAUAUGGAAUCUUAUUCAGAGUAAGAAUAGCCAGAAGUCUUAUUGGAAGUAAAAAGAUGCAUAAAGAGGAGAAAAACAACAAAAUAGGUCCUAUAGAAAGACUUCACCUGAUGGCCCCUAUAGCUGCUUUUUGAAAAUAUGGCUCUGAAUGCAAUCGAUCUUGGAACCUAAGCAUAUCAACGUAUGCACGCAGAGUCAUCUUCCGCAAGCAAUAAGAAUGGAAGUCAAACUGAUCUUCAGUAAUAUCAGCAUAAUGCUUCUCGACAGCCAAGAAGUUCUUUAGAGCCCGUCCAAGAUCACCUUGGCGGAAGUAACUUUCACCAGAUGCAAGUUCAUACCUUUAUAAAAGAAAAAAUAAAUGUUCAAUAAAAUUUAAAUUAAGAACAAUGAUAGUUGAUAUUUGACAGACAAGACAGAGGAUGAAGACAAACCACAUGCAUUGCAUAUCAUGGAGGUUAUUGUGCUGAUCUCCAUCUUUUGUGAACAAAACUGCCGUUUUUUCUGCCAAGGCCACCUUCAAGUAUGAUGCCAUUUUAGAAACAUUAAUAGUAAAGCUCAGUGAUAGUACACAAGCAACUAAAUUGUGCAUCUUUAACAAUAUAAAAUGCAGAAAUUAAGAAGGGAAAAUCAUUGUAAAACCUGAUCUGCCUGCAGCAUACGCUUGACACAAUCACUAUUUAUGUACCGAUCUGCCAAAUCCAUACACCUAGCUUCAUCUGCCAAUGCAGCAGAAGCAACUGCAUCACCAGCAUGCUUCAAUAUCCGGCUCUGUAGGAUAAUAAUACAUUAAAACAAUAAUAAUCAAGCAUGAAUCUGAAUCAUAAAAGAUGAAGACAGUGUUCGUCAAUAGUUUAAAAAACUAUCAUCAUUAUUAACAAUGAGAUUUAUUAUAAAACCAAGUUUUGAUAGUAAGUAUCAUAACAUCUAAACAAGCCUACAAGCCUUAAGACAUCAGUAUGUAACGUUAAAGCCACCUUCUCUAGAAAACUUUGAAUGCCUAUGUAUAUCCAAAAUUUAUCUGCCCACUCGUUUGAUGAAGAUAAAAUUAAAUCAUACCAAAACGAAUCCUAAAUAUUUUUUUGGAGGAAAACAUCCCCAACCACUGUAAAACAAGCACUAUCUAGAACAUAGUCAAUGGCAACAUUUUUUUCCCCAUUCCGCAUACCUUCACAGAGUACAAGUCAAUGACAGUUGGAGUGUGUUUUAUAGCCUCAUCAAUCUUGGAGAGAGCAAUGUCACAUUGGCCCCUUCUGUCAUAAUGCUGAAUGCAAAAUACCGUGACCAUAAGAAUAUUUUGAUGAAACAAAAUCACCAGAAAAGCAAUGUCAAAGUAAUCGCCAAACUUACACACUAACCUGUGCCAGUAAGAACAAAAUCCACAUGAGUGUUGACGGGGGCUCCUUUUCAGUACUGUAGCAAAGACCAUAAAAAAAAAUUAAUGUAUAAAUGAUAAUUGAGAAAAAUAUUUCUUAAUCAUCCUCCUCCCUAUGAUACGAUUUUGCUUUUUCUUUGAACUAUUUUUCAGAAAAACCAUCCCAGGUGGAUCAUCAACGUCCAUGGAGUAAAGGAUAUAAAAUAAUAACAUAAUCCCUACACCACGACAAAGAUAGAAACCUUUUUAGAAUAGAAGCCCAAGUUCUGUCUGAUGCUUGCUCGUCAAGCAUAGAAAACUUCCAUUGAUUUUAUAGAACAUACAAACUAGUAGGUAACAGGGAGAUGGAGAGCCAUAGGAUUCAAAAACCAUAUAAACUAGUGGCCAGUGAUCAGAUCUCUCCAAAAUGUUACAGAAAAAGAGCUGAACUGGUGACAGUUUGAGAGAUUAUAAUUCCAUAAUAAUUUGGAAACCAAAAUUAUUUUCAAAAAGAUAAAAUAGAAAACUGGAUAUUCCCUUGGCUGAACUUGGAUGGGUCCCAUCUCAAUAAAGACUAGGACUUCUUAACUCAGAUCCUAUUUGCAUUGGGUCAAAGCUGUACAAGGUUCGGAUCAAUGAUGUUGGUUGCUAUUGUUUUCAUGGUCCGGAUGUGGAAUCAUUAAAGUGAACAAUGCCUAAAAAUUUCAAAGAAAUCUUUCAAAAUUGUUGUUUUGAGCUUCUAGUUUGAGUACUUGAUCCAGCUCAUGGAUUUCAUCACAAUAUGAGACAGACCAAGAAAUUCACAUGAAUGUCGGCCAAGAAGACCCCUGAGGAUAUUCUCCCAUACUUCUAAUAUAUUCUGCCAAAUCAAAUGAGAAGUUGUUUCAUUUUUAUUUAAAAAGAUGAACUCAUCUUACCAAAAUGAAAAGGCCAUUCAACGCACAAAAUCAUUGACAUGAUGAGCAAUUACUCUUCCUUAAUAUUCCAAGUCCAUGAAGUUCCUUCUCUUCAGCAACUCCAAUGAAUUUUAUGGUAGAAUGCCUUGUCCUUCAAUUUGUACUUUCUUUUUUCUUAAUAACACAGUGUAUCCUUGAUUCGUUGCUCUUUCACUAAAAAAUAUGCGGACAGACAUUUUCUCCCCUUUCGGCUGGAGUACUGUAGCACAGGCAAAUUCCAUAGAUCAGAUGUUGUUUGAUCAUCCUUUCAAGUAUGCUAACCUAUCCUUUGGUCCUUUAUAGAGAAAGCUGUUAUUUGGAAGAUAUGGAGCAAAACGAAUUCAAGGAUAUUUCAAAACAAAGAAAGAUCUACUGAAGAAGUUUUAGAUUUGUCCUUUUCUUAUCUUUUGUUGUAAAAACAUGGGUCCCUUCGCCAACUAUAGUGUAGCCUAAAUUCUCUCUUAGAGAAUUCUUGUGUCAUCCCAUUGGAUGGCUCUAGCCUUUUUAUAAUUUCAUUUUAUCAAUGAAAUUGUUUCCUAUCCCAGAAAAACUAAAACAAAAAAUUCUUUGCAGUUUGCACCAUCAAGAAGGUAGCUCAUUGCACUUCCAGAGUGGUGUACUAGAGUUAAAGAAAAACCUAUUUAUGAUUACUAUCUUAAUCUUCUAUGAAAGGGUGAACACUUGAGUGAUAGGGUUUUUGUAAUCUUCCUUUCGUUUGAGGGAUGCUUUAUCCCUUCCUUUCUUGAGCUUCUGGCUCUAAUCCUUUGAUAAAUAGAAUGCUAUUUCUGUUUAUCAUCAGAGAGAGAGAGAUUACCUCCCAGGGUACUGACCGCUAGUCCUGAUCGAAUGCUCCAACCAAAGAAUUAAUUGCUCUAGUAUGUCAGCCUGAACAAGAAUUCAUUGAAAGCAACAUUAAAAAAAUUCUAAGAAUUGAUAAUUAUUCGAGAAAUACAGACAGUACCAAAACUAUUCUUUAAAGAAAAAAAGAGAAAAGAAAAAGAAAAACGAAAAGAUUGGGCAAACUAACCUUUCCAGGCUGAUCAUACAAAGGGGAAAGAUCAGAGAACAGAGAAGGAACUCCCUGAAGAAAACAAAUUAAUUAAAGAAAAGAUUAAUUGAAAUCCAGCGUCCAGUAGAAAACAGAUAACCAAGACACAUAUUGAAUAUCCAUAGCAUGAAUACCUUUGUUAAGAGAGGCCGAAUAUAAUUAUCAGCUGCAUCUUUAAAUUUGUCACCUUGCAGAAAAUCAAGGGGUAUUCUCUGCCAAAGAACCAUUUUCAUCAAUAAAUUUUUCUUUUUUUUUUUUUUAAGAAUUUUCAUCAAUAAAUUUCAACUAGGAAAGAUCACGAAAUGGACAAUAACAACAUUAACAAUAUAACUAAAACAGUAGUAACAUAAAAGACAAUGACAACCGAAUUAUCCACAAAGUGCCAAUAAGGUGCAGACAUUAACAAAGGAAUUCCCUAUAGAAAUAUCUUUUAUUAAGAGGUACAGAAACAAACAUAAGAUGACCACUCAGAAAUAGGAUACACAACUACCAGAUUGACAAACUAUUACAAUAAAGAAUAUUAAGUGUAGGUAAUAAAAGAAGAGAUUGCAUAAAAUAAUAGAUUCAUAAAACAUGGCAGUACCAAAAACCCGCACCCUUCCAGAAAAAAAUUUAAAUAAAAGAUGAUUGUUUGUUUCUUCCAAACCCUUCACUGAAGCUCCUUUUCGUGUCAGUCUUUUGUUACUUUUGGGGGUGAGGAGGGGGAGGGGGGUUAUAUAUAAAAGGGAGGGAAAAAACCCACUAAAUAAAGGGUUGCCAGCUAUGAGGAAUAGGGUAAAUAAUUAAGGGAUGAAAGAUCACGACAUAAUUAAUUUCGUUAAAUAAAAAAUUAAGUGAGGCAAAAGCAGUCGUGGCCCUUCCAAAACAAAAAAAAAUCAUGAUUUUAGGUUCCUCUUAACAACUUGCAUGGUUUUGAAGGGAGUAAGGGUAAAAUGAGAUUCUACUCAACAUACUUCGAAUGAACAUAGGACCCUUAACUCUAGUGGUUCAUCUACUUUGAGACCUCCCAACUACCAAAUUCUAGAGAAAUGAUACUCUAGGCUCGUGGCCUAGUAAGUUAUACACUUAUAUUACAUUUAAUUAAUUCAAAACUUUUUUUUCAAUAAUACACAUUCUUGACUAACAUGUCAUGCUAAAGUUUCAUUCCACAUAUAAGUAGGCAAAAGUCGCAAAACAUUCCCUUACAGUUUUCUAGUCGUAUCAAAUUCUAUAAAUGGCCCGAUAUAUUUCUCAAGCCAGUCUUAAACUCGCAGAAAGAGAGUCGAAGGAAAACUUCAAAGGAUUUAUAAAAUAUCGUCAAGAUGCAUACCUUAACAGCAGAUGACCACCCAUUUUGCUGCCCCAGGGAUUUGUACAGUUCAUCUAACCGUUCGAUUUCUUUUGGAGAAUACUCCGAAUUUUUUGAAAAUAGCCCAACACAAACUUGUAGCCCCUCAUAGUAUCUAGUCAGUGGGAAGAAAAAAAAAAAAAAAAUAUAUAUAUAUAUAUAUAUUAUGAGACUGUAUACACACGUCGAUGCAAACUGAAAUAAAGUGUGUGUAUACAUUAUAGUUGUUAAAAUCAGCUUAUGCAUAUCUUAAUUAAUCUCAAGUGUCUAACUUUGACUUGGGUUCCGCACGUCUCAACUACUCUCACAAGACUACUACCAACCCUAGUAUAUUUAUUUUUCCUUUUUAUAGGAACCAUAAUCAUUUUAUGGAUGGUAUGAAAUAGCAGUCAACACAGCUACAUUUGGUUUCUAAGUAAACUCAGGAUAUUUAAUUGUAGGUAGGUAGUCAUAUCAUGCUUUGAACUCAAUCGCUCUUAAGUUUUUUUUACUUUUUCAUCUGCCAUUGAUCACUGAUUCACCAUUAUGCCAACUUAUCACAGUUUACAAAUCAAAGUACAUAUGAUCACACAUUUAAAUAUGGUUAUGUAGACCUGCUAUGAAAUUAUCUUCUCAAGCUUUUCAAGAUGUUAAAAACUGUUCGUCUCUUAUAGAGAAGGGAAAAAAGGCAAUUGCCUUUCUUUCUUAUUGUAAGACCGUUAGUUAUGGAAUUGGUAGGAUUAUAGAAAAUAUUAGUAUGGUUAUUAGAAGGAGCAUAUUAGUAAUUAGAUAGUAAGUUGGCAAGGGCUUUCAGUUAUAAAUAGUGAGAGAAGGUGGAGAGGAAAGGGGAAGAAUUUUGUAGUGUUUUCCAAUAGGAUUAUUGGGAGAGAAUAGUCCUCUCGAAAGGCUAUGUUAUAUUGUAGUUUCUUUAUUGAUAUUCCAAUAGAAAUCUAUCUUUAGUGUUCUUUGUCUGUUCUUUGUGUUACUGAGUACUCUUGUUAGGAGGUAUUCUAACACUUAUUUAACUCAAUGUACAAAUAUGGAACCUACCAGCCUAUGUAGUAGAAAAUAAACUUUACCAAUUUUAUUUCGGUUCCUGUAGGACCUUAGAGCCAAAGAAAUAAACCAAGCCAUAUAAUUUGAGAUCUUUUCACUCAAAGAGAAGCAGCUGCAGGAGAUCGAAAUCCUAGAAAUCAACCUAGAAAAAUAAAUCCAUCUAAUACCUGUAGUUGUCAGGAUUAAUGGCAAGUAGCUUCUUGUACAAAUUUUCAGCUUCUUCCAGACGUCCAAGCUUCACUAACAGAGAAACCUCUUGUUCCUUGUAAGACAAUUUGUCAACCUGAAAUGAGCAAGAGUGGUCAGUACUGCCGCUUCGAACUCUGUAUUUUUCUUUUUUGGUGGGACAAGAAACAAAAACUUCUUUUAAUGAGAAAUCAAACUUCCAACAUGAAAGUAUUUUUUUUCAAUAUCCGUGACUGUUCGAACCAGCUUAUGCGCACCUCAACUAAUCUCACAGAACAACCCACCUAACCUUAAUUCCUAGGUAGGUGGCCACCAUGAAUUGAACUCGUGACCUUUAGUUAAAAGCUAGAUAUAUAUAUAUAUGAUUUUUAUUUAAAAGAAAAAGGCCUGAAAUACUAAAGUAAUUCAAAAGUUACAAGAUACCAAACACCCAAAAAAAAAGGCCUAACAAGGCAUAAUUCCAUGUUUUAAAAAAUAAUACUACGCAAAACAAAUAAAAACACAAAAUGGGUAUAAAAAAUUCAGUCCUAACCCAUGUUAAGUGGAAAAAUUAGUUUAGAUAACCAAUGAGACGGAAUCGACAAAAUCAACUUACAAUUUUUGGCUCUUUCUUGUGCAACUCACCCAGAGCUCUUUCAAGAGAGCCACAUUCAUCCAGCAAAGAAAUCUGAAAGAAGAAUACAGAUGGGUUAUUGACCAAACUAAACUAGCUAAUAAAUACUGCCAACAAGGUUUAAUCUUGUGACAUGUAUAGAAACCUCAUCAAAGAACUACAAAAGCAAUUAUAACUUUGUUAAUAGAAAAGACAUGUAUAAAUAAAGAACAAACCUUAUACAAGAGCAUCUCUCCAUGCUCACAACGUUCACUCUCUGGUGGAUAAUCAUCUUCAAGCGUACCUUCGUAUGCUUCCAAAAUUUCAACUGCUUUUGAUGGACUAAAAGUGACCCAAAAAAUUUAAGCAGAAAACCGUGUGUUACUCUUUAAGUACACAAAAUAAUAAAUACUUGCGUCAAGUAAUCUGGCAACUGUUACAAAUAAAAACCCAGAAUAGUGAAAAAUCUACUUAAGGCUGGAUAGAACAAUGAAUUGUCUAACAUAUUAAAGUCACAAGGUUCUCAACUUCUUUAUCUAACAAAAACAGAAUUAAAACCAACCUCGAGAUGGGGUUUUGAAUAACCAUUUAAAAUGUAUAUUAUAUUUAUAUAUACACACCUAUUUUAUUUUUAUUUUUUUGAUGAAAAAACACAACUUUCAUUGAGAAAGAAUAAAAUAAUAAACGGGCACUGAGAAGUAAACCCACAAAAAGAAGGAAUCCCACAUUUGCGUAAUAGGCAUUUUUCCAUUCUCAGGAGCUCUCUGAGAACAUAUGUGAGCAUAAAAGGUUUCCCUGGCAUUGCUGGGGAUGGUGAUUAAAAAUACUCUUCCUUUUUCUGAAAGAAUAAUUUUUACAAUUCCAAAGUAGAGAAACCCAUUCGUACAUUGUAAUAUAAAUGGCUCAAAAUUCUGAAUAUCAUACUGUGAGGCUAUGCAAAAUAAUUGAUACAACUAUAAGACAUAAUUACAAGUCAAACAGAUAGAACUGUACUUUGAAUUUAAGUGAUGAGCAACAGAAAAUCCAAUCCAGUUCAUGCGAUGGUUUGGUUUCAACGUCAGAAGUUGUUGUCUCGUUUCAACAAAACCUUUCAAGUCUCUCAUUUGAGCCUGCAGCAUUAAAGGUAAGAAACAUGAGCAAAAAAAACCAUACCCCAAAAUAAAUGAAAUAGUAAGGAAAACAAUUGCGAAAGAAUAAAAGUCAUUAAAACUAGAUCAAAAUAAAGAUCACCCGCUAUCUAAUAAAUGGAUAUCCACAAAAAUAUACAAUUUCUCAGUUCCUAUCCUUUAACUUCCCUUUUAUGCACGUUCUAGACCAUGUAACUUAGCAAGAUAAAAUCUCUAAAUAAUUCAUACAAAGUGAAAUUAGAUGCAUUAAGAGGCCAAGACGAAAGAUAUGGAGAAAGGCUAAAAUAUCACUUACAUUAUAUCCUGAACAGACGCAAAAAAAUAGCAAAAUGAUAACAAUCCUAGAAGCAUCCCGAGGCUAUGUUCCCAGUGAAAAAGAUUCAUGAUGAAUGAUAAGUCAGUAUGAUCCAAUCCCUUGUUGCUCCAAUUUGUUGCAACUCCCAACUAGAAAUCUACUUUCCUCUUAAUGGACAAAGCUUGAGCACCCAUAUUAAACUCUUCUCUUCAUCUCUUCUCAUCACCGCCUAUCUAAUACUUUUUGUCAGCUUGGAGUUGGUGCAAAUUUUAGUUACUUCAACACAAAUAGGUGCUAUUCAUUCAGAAAUUGCAGUGCCUUCUAUGUCUAUGUCAGCACCAAGUGGAAGUCAGUGGUUAGACACAAAUUUUAGGAUAGAAAACUUCAAUGUUUGUUUCUCUCAGUGACCAAAAUUGCAUAUAGUUCAACGAAAAUUUUUACUUGAGCUAAUUAAAAGUCCUAUUGUCGGAGGCUUGGUACCGUUUGGUACUACUUAUACAAUAAAUGAACUUCCCUAAUAAUAACCUCAAUUAGAUCAUUAGUUCCAUUAAUGCCAGUCAGAAGCUCUUGUAAAUUAUAAUUGUUCGUAAUAGUAGCUCAACUUAAACUUUACAGAAAAACAAAUACUAUUACCAAGAUUCAGAAGUAACAAACGGAAUUUCAAUGUUGCACAAAUAUAAUGCAGAAAACCAUAGGCAAAAAUGAGAUAUGGUUCAAACCUGUAGAAGUGACAGGUCACGUAAAAUUUCAAUAUUGUCAGGAUCUAUUUUCAGGGCAUUUCUGUAACAUUUAAUUGCCUCCCUGUAUUCUCUAUCCGAGCGGUAUAAAAGACCAUAAACAUGCCAGCAAACAUGACUUUUGAGGUCAUUCUGCAUCAAAACAAUAACUCAGAUGAUCAGGAACUAUGAUACAAAUCGGCUACUAUAGAAACAAAGAAUCUCGAGUGCAAUGAAAAACACACAAACCUUCAAUCCUAAUCGAACAAGGUCAUAUGCUUCGGCCUUACGAUCCAUGCAAUUUAAUGUUAAACCCUUCAUGGAUAAAGUUUCUGAUAUCAUGGGGGAACAACAAUUAUUCGAGAUAGUAAAAAAGAUAAAAUACAAGAUAGUAAAUAGUACUCGUCCAAUAUCCAAUAUUUCGGCCCCGGGUGCUACAUACAAUUUCCACUUGAGUGUUGAUUAACCAAGAGUUAGAAUUACCUCCAUGUUCAGGAAACUUCUUCAAAAUUUGAUCAGCUGCUUUCAGGCCCUUCUUGUACUGUUUUGUUUCGUAUGAUUUCUACAACAAACAAAAAAAAAAAAAAAAAAAACACAAGACUCAAUUAGCCAUUGCAACAACACAGCUGUUGGAUAUCGUAACAACUAAAAAAAUAACCAAAUCACAUCAUAGUACUAACCACUGAAGUAGCAUACAACCCAAUUAUAAUAAAAACUAGCUUACAUAUUCCCUAUUUCGAAGGAAAUGAGAAUGUAAUCAAAUAAUGUUCGAAGUUUCCUUUAUUCUCCACAUUUCUUAAUGAAAUAACACAAACCCAGUACAAAGUUCAGUACAAAAACUAGGGUUUAUGUUCUAAUAAAAACAAAAGAAGAGAAAAGAAAAAAGAAGGGGGAGGCAAAAACAUUUCAGUUCGAUCGAAGUAUGAUUAAAGUGAUGAAGAUGAAGGGCAUAGAAAGCAAUCGAUGAACUUACGACGAUGAGCUUGAAGAGGUUAGCCUCCUUGGGUGGAAGUGACGCACCCAUUGCUGCAGAUAGUGGGAGAUGGGGAAGAGGAUGAGAGAGAGAGAGAGAGAGAGAGAGAUAAGAAAGGAGAGUGAAAAAGAAGUGAAAAGAGAAGAACUUUGAGGUUUGUAUGGUGUGAGCUUAUAGAGACAGGUGGGUUUGGAGUGGUGGCGUUUAUCUGCUGCAACCCUACGGGGAAGGAGAAGAUGAAAAAAUGUAUAAAAUCAAUCAAUUAAUUAAUUAAUAUUGACCGAAAGGAAAAAAAGAGAAAAAGAGGAAUUUUAGGGAAUAAGCAUUGAUUUGUAUUUCUUUUUGUAAUUUGUUGUAAUUUACAUCGCAAUGCGCGCGUGAACUUCCCCUACAAUAAUUUGUCUUUCAACUCUUUCCUUCUAUUUUCGUUGAGGUGAAAAUUCAAUAUUAAAGCUAAAUAAUCAUUUUUAAAAAUUACCAAAAAUAUAGCCUUUAACAAUAUAUUUAUAUUUAGUAACAAAAAAAACACAUUUGUUGUAAAUAAUUUGUUUAAGUUUUUUAUAAUAAUAAUAAUAAUAUGGUAGGGUGAUAUUUGCCAUUAUACUUUUAAUUUUUUAAAUAAAAAUUUGAGUACCAAAUUUAUCCAAAAAAAUUAAAAUAAGAUACUUAAAUUAUACUGAUUAUAUAGAUUUAAAAUUCAAUAUUUAGCAUUUAUAAACUUAAGGGCCCAUUUGUUAUUACUAAACAUUUGAGACUUAACGGCCCAUUUGUUACUAUUUUAAGAGGAGUGUUCAUAAAAUAUUGAAAAUCAAACCUAUUUGACAAACCAAACCGAAUCGAAAUCGAUUGCAUAUGAUUUGGUGUCGUUUGGUUUAAUAUUUUGAAUCGAUUCUAAAACCAAAUCAUAUUGCUUCUUUUAAACAAAUUUAAAUAAAUGUUCAUUUUGUUUCUAAAAUUUAGAUAAACAAGUUAACUCGGGAUCCAGUAAAAUCUAAAAUAUAGAGGAAAAUUUUAUAGGACUCAGUGUUUUGGUAGCUCGAGAUUGUUCAAGAUUUUAAACAUACAAAUUUUAUCAAACUUGAUGCUUUGAUAGCCCAAUAUUCUUCGAAACUUAAAACAUAAAGGCAAAGUUUCCAAAACUCGGUGCUUUAGUAGUCUAAGAUUGUUCAGAAUUUAGAAUAGAUAGGAAAACUUUUACCAAACUUGGUGCUUUCAUGGCUUAAUAUUGUUCAAUAUUUAAAACAGAAAGGCAAAUGUUAUCGAAUUCGAUGUGUUUGGUGUCCUGAUAUUCUAUGGGAUUUAAACCGAACCGCAUGUACUAUUCGAUUUUGAUUAGGUUUUACACACAUGUUUUGUUUCGUAUGAUAUUUUUUUACAUUUUGCGGUUCGAUGCAGUUUUAGCUUGAAACUAAAUUCAAUCGGACCGUGAACACCUCUAUAUUUUAAACAGCAAAUUGCCGAAAAUAUUUUUAAAUACAGCAUAAUGUUGUCAUUUAGUUACAAACACUGUUUUGUUACUUCGUUUAUCAUUAGUACAUAUAUUAGUUAUAAGUGAAAUUUGUAUUUGUAAAUGUUGUAAUAUGUUUUGUUAUAUUUUAAAACAACCAUAAUUUUUCUUAUCAAUGAACGCUUGCUCAGUUUUAAGAAUAUAAACUAACUUGUAUUGUACCAUAGAUGUUUUUUUUCCUUCUUGAUUGUAGUUCAAUACACUUAGUGAGAAAUGUGUGUUUGAGUUCCCAACUUCGAGUGGAUCGUGUGAGCUAUUGUACCUCAUGACAUAAUUCAUAUUGCUCCAAUAGUUAGUGUUUCAAACUAUUGUAACCUACAAACUAUCAUAUUGCUAUUUCACGUCACUUCUUGUUACAAUGUUCUCUACCCAUAUAGAAACAUAUUGCACUUAAUCAUAGACUAAUACAAUCCAUAUGAAAAUGUAUUGCGCCCAAAACACGUGCUAUGUUAAAUUCACAUUGUUACCACCCACAACCGAUGAUACAGUCAAACAAGUACUUCAAACACUCUUUAACAAUUAAAAAAAGAAAACCGAAUUCAACAAGCAUAAAAUUUGUCCUACCAACUUUAAUCAAAUCUCUAAUUUCACUCUACAAACUGUAGCAAUAACAAGAAUGUCCAUGCAAGUGGUGCACUUUAUAUAUUGUUGAACUAAAAACAUACACAAACAAAAACAAAUAAAAAUGACAUAGUUGUAUGGUUUUACACGUAAGACUACCAUGGUAUAUUAUACGUUUUCAAGUUUAAAUUUGAUAAAUUUAGUAUGCAUCAUACAAAAAACUACAACAUUCUUAUUUUAAUUUAUUUCAAAACGACAUGUGUGUAAUAUUAACUAUGUACAUUUUGUUUGAUAAUUUUCAUCUUAACCAUCAUCUAACUAUUAUAAUAUCUAAAUAUAUUGGAUUUUGUUGUACUAUGAAUGUACAGAUAAAAUAAAAAAUACAAUAGUUUACCGAAAGAUUUGUUUAACCAUCUACUUUCAAAGCUAAAAAUUUAGCCAAUAUAUGUCUAAAUCGUCUAAAACACAACUAGUUUAGUCAACUUUCUAUAUAAGAAAAGAAUAUUUACAUUCUUAUUUCAAUAAAGACUAACUUUUAAAUAACAAAAUUAUAAAAUUCCCAAGUCAUUCAAAUUAUUCUUUUAAGUUAAUAGACUAGAUAUUGGAAUAUACUGAUUUGUACACAAAUAAAACAAAACAAACAUGGAGUAGACUACAGUAGAAGGACGUAUAAAGUAAAUGGACUAAAACAUAUUUCAACUAAAAAAUAUUUUUGUUUAGACCCAGAAGUACUUUUUUGUUUUUUACCCAUUUGAAAAGAAAAGCAUCAAUUGCCAUCUUGCAACUUUUUAGAUGCAUAUAUAAGAAAACAAAUGUAAAGGAAAAGAAACUCCUUUUUAAAAAAUAGUUUGGGUUACUUCUAUUUUUAUUUUAAAAUUGUAAUAUGAUCUUUUUUCCUAAGAAAUAUAUGAAAAUUACAAUAUAUAAUUUUAUGGCAAAAAUAUAUCAGAGUAGCAAUUACAUUAACCAUAUCAAUAUUCUGAAAUUCUUAAAACAUAUUAGGGGAAACCAAAAAGUUCUGAUUUAUAUUUGUAUCCAAUUAUGAUAUUUUUUAUUUGCUUAUUUUCUGUUGUGAUAUUUGAAAUCAAGAAACAAACAAACAAUAUGAUUAAACAUACUAAUUUCAUAAAAGGGUGAAACCAAAAAUAGGAAAAAAGGUUCUCAUGACUCUAGAAAACCAUUGGGUUACUUUUUUUUUCUCUGAGUUAAACUAAGUUUAUUUGAGCAUAAAUAUUUUUGACAAGUUCUCUAAUUUGGAUGUAUAAGCUUAAAUUAUCCCUAAACUUUUAAAUUGUUUAAAACAACGCAUUAAAAGUAUUAAAAUACUAAAAAUGAAAUUGUAACUUCUCGCUCUAAAUUUGGUGAACCACCAUCGAUGAAUUUAUGUUGUAAUUUGAUAAAAAAACCAAUAUUUUGAUUGAGCAUUUUGAAUUAGAAUUGUAAUACAAAACUCAUUUGGUUUGGACACUUUCAAUUUGACUAUAUUUUCAAGUGUUUUCACGUUUUACGAACUUACUUACACUUCUAGAAUUCCUAGUAAUUUUCUAAUUGCAUUCCCGCUGUCCAAACACCACGAAAAGAUAGCAUUAUACAGCUACAAAAGGUUAACUAUUGAAUGUUCAAAUGUUUGAGAGCAAUUUUAAAAUCCCAAAAUCAAAAGUGAUUAUAAUAUUUUAGAACCACUCUCAAACAUGUCAAACAUGUCAAGUAAGCACGAGAAUAUAGAAUCAAUGGACCCAUUCUCACUUCUUUAGAUUAACACAAGCAUACUAUGGCAACAACGCAUACCAGCAAAAGCGUUUCUCUUUGUAAAUCUCAAAGGACCUAAACUAAGAAUUCUUACAAACUACUUUAUGGAAUGCCACGUCUAUCUCCUCCUCAGUCAUCUCAAUCGUGUCAUCACUAUCAUAUUCCUUUGUUUCAUGACCAUUCUUCGACUCUUUCUUGACAAUUCGCUUCUUCUUUCUUUCUGGGGAACUCUCAAGAAGAGAAUUAAGUUCUACUUCAUAAAUGCUUUUAGAAUCCGUGGCCUGCCUGCAAAGUUCCUCCUUUGAUAUCGACUCUUUCUUAUUGCUAAGCUUUGCCAGCUCUUCCACCACCUGGGGAACGAACUUCCAUUCUUCAGUCAUCUGAUUGAUGUCCUGCACAAGAAUUAAUUGUGUUUAAAGUGCCAAUCUAUAAGGCUGAGAGCAGAUACCUUUUCCAUUUCACGUUAAAUAAAAUAAAUGAACAAUGAAGCAUGCAAGCAUAUUGCGAGAAAGGCGAGAUAAUGAGAGAAGUGACAGUGGAAUAUUUGACAGGACGCUCGCAUGAACCUUGAAGGAACAAAAUCCAGCACCAGUUGAACUCAAAAUUAUUCCCAGCCAAUAGAAAUUCGUGAUAAAAUGGUUCUCAUGCUAAGUUGCAACUGUCAGGGGUUGAAAUGCCUGAUCAUUCACAGUAUAGCUGAUUGGUCGGUAAUAUCAUCUGUUUUCUCACACUAGCGAGACACCGAGACCAUUUAGAAAAUCUCAAUAACAUACAUUGAUGUUUUUUUUACACGUUAUCUUAUAGUUAGGCAAACAUUUAGUAGCACAGUGAGUGCAAAGGAGAAAUAGAUAGAUCAUAAAUACAUAAAUAGGAAAAAACUGUCUACCUGAUUUUGAUGAAGAGAAUCUAUGGCAUCUUGUAAACAAGUUAAAAUUCCUUCUGCUGCUAUUUUCUUUAUCUCACUUGGAUCUGGCUACAAAGGUUAAAAAUAAGAAUUAAAAUCAACGAAGUCUCACAAUCUAUCCAAAUUUGAAGUGUGAAAAACCAAAGAGCCCAUACAUUCCUAAGAACCAACCAAGGGAUUGAGAGAAGAUUCCAGGUUGCCAUUGAACUCAAUUGGGGUACUUUGUGCUUGAAGUAAAAUCUAUACAUUGCAUAAAACAGAAAAGCAUGUGUGUUACCUUCUCUUCUUGACUCUCUAGCCAAGAAAGUGUCUUAUGGUAAUCAUCAAUAGCCCAUUUCUUUAAUUUCGAAGGAGAAAAGCAGUCUCUUGAAAAAUUACUCCGUCUACUCUGGAUAUCUCGCACAAUCAAUGGUAUAAAUAGCCAUAUAUCAGCAUUUGUAUGUAUAUGAAUAUAAAAGAUGUAGCCGAACAAUAACCAGCAUCCCACAAAAGGUCAAUUUUGUUUUGUUACGUCCCAUAUAAAGCAUACAAAUACUAAUCAGAAUGGAAAGACAAAGACGAUAUAAUGGAAUAUAAUUUCAAAAGAAUUAGACUAUUUACCUGAGCUAUCUCCGGCUCAUGUGGUUUUAAAUGUGAAGUUUUUUCAACCACUCUCUGAGGUUUCUUGGAUGGUGAUGGAAUAUCUGCAACCAUAGACCCCAGGAUGAAAAUGGAUGAUGGGAAAUUAAAAAAUGAUUCUUCGGCAUAUCAGGUACAAGGUGAAGGAACGAAAGGUAUCAAAACAUUGAAAAAAUCAGGAAAACAACGAAAUGAUAGUUACAAGACUUCAAGUGUCCAACGCCAUGACACCAACCAAAAAAGUGGGUGUGGGGGGGUGGGGGAGGAAUUUUCUUUGGUUUGCAACUGUAGAAGCCAAAGAUUCAAACUGCCAAGGAUAUUUUGCCAAGGCAUCAAGUUCUCACUCAGGGAGAGGAAAUUUACUCAUCAGAUUCUCUUUUUGGGUCAUUAGAUGAUUAAAGGUGUCUUUCUCUGGGUAUAGUAAGCUCCCGUGUUUUUUUAUGGGCCUACUUUUUCUCCUUUAUUUGGCUGACUUCAAUAGUUGGCUUCUGUUUCUUUCUUUCUUUCUUUCUUCUCUCCUAUCUUUUUGUUUUUUGUUAUUUUUUUAAAAUCACUUUCUCAUAGAGUUUUGUUUUGGGGUUCUUUGUUGGAGGCUUGGAGCCUUGUUCUUGAGGGCUGCCGAACCUGGAUCAUUUCACUUGAUGGCUCAUUGCUUCUGAUUUUCUUUGUCUUUUUUGGUUGCAAUGCUCUAGUUGAGGUUGUUUGUUUCAUUUUUCUUUCCUUUUCCUCCUCACUCCAUCGGGAGUUUGUUUCCUGAACAUUUCCUUAUCAUAUUAUGAACGAAAUGUUUCUGGUUCAGAAAAGAGCACAACACAGUAAAUAAUAUACUGGGGGAAAAACACUUCACUACUAAUUGUUUUUUAGGGUUUUGAUGUAAGGCAGUGAAAAUAAGAACCAUAUUUUACUUAGUUAUAGAAUCAUUUACAAAUGCUAGAAUGGGGUUUUUAAGGAACUUAACCUUGGUGUAUGGUAGAUUCUCUAGUCAUGAACCUUCGCUAACUCCUUUGUGGCUUCUACAGAAAUCUAAGUUUUCAUGGCUUUGUGUGGUAAAAACACUUCAGAAUGUUCAGUAGAAAAGGAAUUAAAGAACAUUUUGAAGGAAUGAGUAAGGUUGGGAGAAUAUUUUUAUUUGGAAAAAAGAUUAAAUUCUAUGUCGUUUUGGUUUACUCUCUCUUCCUCUCAAGUAAUAAUAACACCUUUCUCAUUGUAGCCAAUUGGUGUGGCUUUUGUAACCUCCUAUAAUUUGUAUAUCUCUUUGUAUUUUUCAUAUGAUCACUAAGAAGUUUGUUUCUUCUAAAGUUGGUCAAUCGAAAACAAUGCACCAUAGUUUGACUAUAGUUCUAUGACUACUGUGUCAGCUGUGGCCAUGGUGGUUUUGAGUCUUGUGACUAACAUUAACAUUCAGUGGAACUACAGCCAUGGAAACAUAAUUAUUUUUAGAUCACCUUGGGUGGCUUCACGUGAAAGAUCGCAUCUUCUCCAAGGUUUUCCAGCAUAGAGGAGGUAGCUUUCAAUGUCAACAAGCCUCUUCUGUGCAUAACAUUCUGAAAUCCACUCCUAAGAAAGAAGACAGAAUGAGAGCACUUAGAACCUAAAUCAACGAUUUAGAAUCCCCGUAUCAGUGACAAUCAGAUAUGAUACAGUCAGAUUUUAGACUUGAUUUCUAGAUACAUCUAGGAGAAAAUGUGCCGAUAUUGAUAUGCUUGAAAGAGAGCAAUAUGAUAUAACAUGCUUAAUGAAGAAUAAAACUUGUUAAUUUUCAUGAUCCAAGAAAAAGAAACCAUGACAAAAGCAAGACUGAGAAUAUUUCAAAUAAACCACAAUGUUCAGAACCUACUAAAAUAAGCAGAAAAUUUAUUUCAUAUCAUCAACAUGGUUGAAUAAUUGACACCAAACAUACAGCUAUCAAGUUUUCCCUUUAAUCAAAUCUAGCAUCAGAAAAAAUUUUAGCAACCAACUCUCCGAUUCCUACAUAUCAAAGCCAACACAUUUUUUCUUUGUAACAAUAUCUGGUUAAUGCUCAAGUUUUUGUACAAAGAAAAAACCUUUGAUACUAUGGUUCCACAAUCUGACUCCACUUGCCGAAAUUUUGGGGUAUUUGGGAAAGCACAGAUCAACAAAGUGCAAUCUGAGUUCCAAUCAGGUUUAUAUUGAGCUCCCAUUUCUAAAGCUUGAGAUCGCAAAAUGCUACGCUCAGGAUUAACAAAACCUGACAACACGAAAACUACUCCUUCCUGCAUUUAACGUUGGCCUUUUAGUUUAGUGCGACUGUCAACUAUCAAAAUAUGUAAAAAUAGCAGGUAAAAGGAAGACAAUGGGUGAAAAGAGACAAUAUGUAAACCAGAAGUCUGGAGAAAUCAUGGUGUAAUGAACUGCUCACUGGACCUUCACCAUUUCCCUUCUCUUGCUUAGGCUCUUCAGCUUCGACCAUCAAAUCAUUUCCAACAGAAGCAGAACUGUUUGGUUUCUUGCCUCGAGACGUACUUCCAUCGUCCUUCCCACUCAUCCAUGAAGGAAGACUGCGCUUAGCACUGCCGCCACCCUCAUUGGCCUUUGAAUUUGACAUAUCGCUCCUGCUAAAGCGAUUCACUUUCUACUACCAGGCUGAAAUUUGUCAGCUCAUCUCAAAUGCAAUGAAGACUUGCAUGAAAACUCUAAAGACACCCGUUCUCAAAGCACUAAAGAGGUGCGAGUAAGAGCCUACAAAGAUUAUGGACGCUGUUUUACAAUACUGAAACAACUUCAAAUUAUUGCCAGGUGACACAAACAUAGAAUCAAAAUGCACUAGUUACAAAACCUAACCAAACCUAAACGAGUUCAUGUCAAUUUCAUCUCAUCAAUUCUCAAUACCCGAUCGAACUUGAAAAACUAAUGUUGCCACUUCAUAUCAAGAUAAUUACGAAUAAUAAUAGAAAAUUAACACAACAUUUGGUAGCGAACCGACAGGAAAAUGGAAGGUAUUAAGCUCAACGAGGUCAAAACAUAUUAAGCAGUGCAUUAAGUUUGAUAUGCAGUCGCCAAGCUGAAGUGAAAUUUGACCACUGGCAUUACAGCGUAUCGUGAUCGGGUAGGUUAGCAAGAAACCGGCAAAGAUUGUAGGAAGAUGAUGAUUGAAAUUAGAAACGAAACGAUACCUGAAUUUUACUUCCAGUGAGUUGAUUCGAAAGGUUCAGAGUCGAUUCAAGAAGUCAGCACAUAGCCCGCGAUUGCAACCUUCCCAUAUUUCCACCGUUCAGAGUUAUAGAAACUGUUAGAUUUACUCUUCAAUCCCUUCAAUUUCAUUAAUUUGUAUCUUUGGUAAGUUUUUUUCCUUUUUAGUUUUUAGUGAGAAAUAUUAUGCUCAACAUUUGUAACUUUAACAAAGUUAUAAAAAAAAAGUAAUAUUUUUUGUAAUUAAUGAUAAAUAUUAAUAUCCUAUAAAAAAAACGUUUUAGAUUAUAAAAUUGAUUAUUGUAAUUUUAAAAUUAUUAUAGUAGGACUAUGUUAAUUUUAGUUUACGUUUGAGUUUAUAUUAAUUUAGUUUGUAUUAGAAUAGUAUAUAUUUGAAAACAAUUUUUUUUUAGUUAAAAAAAAUAGUAAACAUGUUGUUAUAUACUAAAAAAUAAUGAUAAAAAAUUAAUGAACUUAAAAUAGUCAAAACAAUAACGAAUAAAUAUAGUAGGAAAUAAGAAUUUUGAAUCGCAACAAACACAAUUUCAUUGAAAUAAGUUGGCUAAAAGGAGAAAGAUGAAAGUUUUGAAGGACCUCAUCUGCAAAACAAUAAAAAUUUGAACGGAAAAAAACAAUACGAGUUUUCGCGCUUUGGUUCACUCUUUCGAAUUUGGAGUUGUUCUAGGGUUCGGUUCAAACGUUGGAGAUGAUAACAAUGGCGAACGAAGAAGCUCGACACUCCGAUGUUAUCGAUCCUCUUGCUGCUUAUUCUGGUAUCAAUCUUUUUUCGACCGCAUUUGGUACUUUGCCGGAUCCGUCAAAGCCACAUGAUCUUGGAACAGACCUCGACGGCAUCCACAAGCGCCUCAAAUCCAUGGUAUUACUAUCUUUCCAUAGUCGUUGCAUAUGAUGCUUCCAUUUUACUGAUUUAUUUGGUUUACAGUGCUUCCUGCUUGCUCCAAGAGCUCCGCCGGCCAUUCAAUCGCCGGUGUUUUUUCUUAUUUUUUUUUUAAAAUUUCUGCAUGUUUUGAGGAUGAAUUGGAAUCCGUAUACUGUUCCCACGUUGUUAGUAAGUAUGCCAGCGUGCGACAUGGUUUUCCUUCUUAGUCGUGACGAUUUAGCUCAAUGGUUGAAUUGGAGACUCGGGUUUCUUGUUACUGUGAAAAUUUGGGGAAGUGAAAUGCUCUUGGCUUUGAAUUUAAUGGUUUCUUCUUAACUUAAACCCAAACGUCCUGCCUACUUUGGUUUUUAUUUGUAAUAUCUGGGUAGUUCACUUGGUUUGUGAACUUAGAUUUGAGAUACUUCCUGGCGUGAUGUUUAGUUCGUCGGUUUGAGACGGGGCUGGGUUCUUAAGAAUAUCGAUGCAAGAGUGAUUGAAAUUACAACUUCUUAUGGUGUUAGUGUGGUACAGCCUUGUUUAUCAUUCUUCCUAUCCCAUCUCAUCCCCAUUUUCUCAUCAUCUUGGCUCCUCAAGAUGCAUUUUGUAUCUAUUUCUACUUUUGGUUUAACUAACGACCAACGACUCUCUUCUAAAUAUGUCAGGUGUUAAGGAGUCCCAGUAAACUAUUAGAACAGGCCAGAUCAAUUUUAGAUGGCAACUCAAAUUCGAUGAUAUCUGAAGCUGCCACAUUUCUUGUGAAGAAUGAGAAAAAUGAGGAAGCUACAGUGAAGGCAGAGGAAAAUCUUCAAGAAAGAAGGCCGGCCUUAAACCGAAAGCGGGCUAGGUUUUCUUUAAAACCCGAUGCUAGGUAAUGCUUUUAAUAGUGAAAUUUUCCUACUCUUUCAAGAACAAAAUUAACAUUCUGGCCAACUUUUAUGAGAUCUUCUUUUUAUAGGCAACCUCCUGUGAACUUGGAACCAACAUUUGACAUCAAACAAUUGAAAGACCCCGAGGAGUUCUUUUUGGCCUAUGAAAAGCAUGAAAGUAAGUUGUUCUUAUGCUUCUUUUUUCACUCAAAUUUCAAAUAAUAUAGACUUGUGUCAAUAUUAUCUUCCCAUUUUGCAAUUGGUCCAUAGAUGCCAAAAAAGAAAUCCAGAAGCAGACGGGAGCAGUUUUAAAGGACUUGAACCAACAAAAUCCGUCGACGAAUACACGCCAGCGUAGACCGGGGAUUCUUGGGUAUAAUCACUUAUAUGUUAUAUUAUUAACAAAGUUUUGUACCUUUUCCUUUUUGUGUCACGUUUUCUUGUGGUUGACAGUCCAAAAUCUUCUCGUGCAUGUAGAAGAUCUGUUAGAUACAAGCAUCAAUAUUCAUCAAUAGCAACUGAAGAUGAUCAGAAUGUAGAUCCUUCUCAAGUGACAUUUGAUUCAGGCAUUUUCAGUCCAUUGAAAUUGGGCACAGAAACACACCCAAGUCCACAUAUAAUUGACUCAGAAAAGAAAACUGAUGAAGAUGUAGCCUUUGAGGAGGAGGAGGAGGAGGAGGAGCUCGUUGGUAGGUAUUUUAUUAUAGAGAUUAGAGAUCAAAAUGCAACUUUUUGCAUGCAUCAUGGUUCAGUUGAUUUUAUCUAUCUCACAUGCUGCCGUCCUUUUCCUCUCUUCUUUUUCAUUUCUCACUGUCCCUGUUAAAACUAAUGGUGGUUUGCAUGGACCUCUUUGACCCUUUUUUCCUUUUCCCUUUUAGCUUCAGCUACGAAGGCAGAGAACAGAAUAAAUGAUAUUUUGAAUGAAUUUCUCUCUGGUAAUUGUGAAGAUCUAGAAGGUGAUCGAGCCAUCAACAUAUUACAGGAGCGCUUGCAGAUUAAACCUCUUACUUUAGAGAAAUUAUGCCUUCCAGAUUUAGAAGCCAUUCCAACAAUGAAUUUGAAAUCUUCAAGAAGCAAUCUAUCAAAGCGUAGUUUGAUCAGUGUGGACAAUCAGUUACAAAAGAUAGAAAUUUUGAAAUCUAAGCAGGACAAUGUAAAUUUGGUUAAUCCUGUUUCUACACCAUCAUCAAUGAGAAGUCCAUUGGCAUCGUUAUCAGCACUAAAUAGACGGAUUUCACUUUCAAAUUCAUCAAGUGAUUCAUUUUCAGCUCAUGGCAUUGACCAAUCUCCAUCAAGAGAUCCUUACCUUUUUGAACUCGGUAAUCACUUAUCUGAUGCAGUUGGUAAUACAGAGCAGUCAAGCGUUUCUAAGUUGAAGCCACUUUUAACCAGAGAUGGUGGGACUGUAGCAAAUGGAAUUAAACCAUCCAAAAUUCUUUCUGGAGAUGAUUCCAUGUCUAAUAUAUCUUCAAGUAAUAUUUUAAAUGUACCCCAAGUUGGGGGCAAUACUGCUUUAAGUGGAACUUAUGCCAGCACGGAGGCUAAAAAUGUUAGUGUCAGCAGCACAGACGUGGAAAUAAAUGAGAAAUUGAGUUGUCUUGAAGCCCAAGCAGAUGCGGUGGCUAAUAUGCAGAUUGAAGAUCACGAAGGAUCAGCUUCUGAGCAACCAAAAUUAUCUGAGGUGGAUCUAAUCAAAGAGUACCCGGUUGGCAUUCGGAGUCAGUUGGGUAUGAUCUUCAAUGCCAGUAUCAUUAGUUACUAGCUGAUAAUUUCUUUUAUUGUCAUGUAAAUAGGAAAUUAAAGCCCAACAUUAUGUUACUGCCAAGUGCUCAUUUUAGCACGUUUGAUGGUUGAACUUUUUUUCUUUUUUGAUAAAUUUUGAACACAUAUGUUUUACUUUUACUAAAUAUAUCUGAGAAAUAAUAGAUAACUUAAUGAGAAAUACAUCUCGGAUAUUUAACUAAAUUUUAGUAGUUGAAGUGUACCAUUUAAUGCUUCACAUUUUGAAGAAACCCUAUAAUUAAUAUUUUGUUUCUCUGAAUGAAAAGACACAUUCCAAUUUUUUUCAGUCAUGUCAUAGUUCUGAAUUGGCUUAAGCUUUCUCCUAUGAAAAUCCAUUUCCUUUCUUCAUGGAUUUAGCUGUGCUUAUUUGUACUUGUAUUUUACAUUGAAAAAGCAGAAAUUUAUUCAUGUUUGCUUAUCAAUUCCUAGUAGAUAUUGAUGAUUUCAGGCUCUGUUCUUUGUUUUUUAACAGAUCAAUCAGCUGCUACUUGUACUGAAAAUAUUGUUGAUGGGUCAUCUAGAAGCAGUGGUACAGAACACCGCGAUGAGGUUUUUGACCUUUUCUUCUUUAUCAUUUGGGCCUUUAUUUCCAGUAGCUCAUGAUUGAUGACUCUGAGUUCUUUGUCAAAUUGUGGUAUUUGUUAUAGAUGAAGCUUUGCAGAUUAUGUUUUACAAAAAAAAAAGCGUUAUUGGGGUUAUCAUUGUUAAAAGGAAGUGUUCUCAGUUUCAUUAAUCAUUUUGUCGGGCAUAUAUUAGUAACUAAUGGUAAACGCUGAUAAUAUGCAGAUGGAAGAUCAUGAAGGAUCAGCUUCUGAGCAACCAAAGUCAUCUAAGGUGGAUGUGAUUAAAGAGUACCCAGUAGCCAUUCAGAGUCAGUUGGGUAUGAUCUUCAAUACCAGAAUCAUUAGUUACUAGCUGCUAAUUUCUUGUAUCAUCAUGUAAAUAGGAAAUUAAAACCUAACAUUAUAUAUUUAUGUUACUGGCUUCAGCUGUAUGCUCAUUUUUGUGUGUGAAUUUUGGACAUGUAUAUUUUUGUUUCAUGAUAGUUAACUAAAUUUUAGUAGUUGAAGCGUACCAUAUUUUGAAGGAACUCUGUUUGAUAUAUAAAUAAACUUGCAUUCACCCAUUUGCAUAAGCUUUUGGGUCAAUCGGUGAUUUAACAUGUUGUCGGACCUCGUGGUCCAGGAAGGUCCCAUAUUCAAACUCCUGCAAUGCUAUUUUCUCACCAUUUAAGAUUGAUUUUCACUUGUUGGACCUUCGGCUCACAAGUGAGGGAGAGUGGUAGAUGAUAUAUAAUUAAAUUUGCCUUCAUCUAUUGGCUCAAGUUUUUGGGUCAAUUGAUGAUUUAACAAAUCCUGUAUUUAAUAUUUGUUUCUCUGAAUGCAUAGGUAGAUUUCAAUAUUUUUCAGUCUUGCCAUUUUUCUGAAUUGGCUUCAGCUUUCUCAUAUGAAGACCCAUUUCCUCUCUUCAUAGAUUCAACUGCUUAUUUUCACUCCUAUUUUUAUGUUGAGAAAGCAGAAAUUUGUUCAUGUUUGCUUAUCAUUUCCCAGUAGAUGGACUAGAUGAUUUCAGGCUGUGUUCUUUGUUUUUAACAGAUCAAUCAACUACUACUACUUGUGCUGAAAAUAUUGCCGAUGGGGCAUCUAGAAGCAGUGGAACGGAUCACCAUGAUGGGGUUUUUGACCUUUUCUUCUUUUCUUUUUUCUCAUUAAUCAUUUUGUCUGGCAUGUGUUCGUUUCAUUAUUCUCACAAUUACUAUUAUUGUAUGUUGACCAUUGCUUGACUACCUGUGCUAUAUUUUGUUAACGGUAUAUUGCCAUCUACAAUUUUAAAUUGGGAGUAGCCUACCAUCUCCACUCAGCUUCCUCUCUGUACAUAAUAAUAAGGUAGAAAUAAGUCAAUUAAUUUACUCUGCUACCCCAGGAAAGAAAGAAAAUGAUGAGAGUCCGCCAGUUGUUAACUCUACUUGUUUACUAGAACAUGGUUAUUUCUGGUUUUUACUUUUGAGAGACGAUCAAGGAUUUUUUUUUUGGUUGCUGAUGUAGGAACAGGUCAAGCCAAAAUCUCGUGCAAACAAACAACACAAAGGCAAAAAGAUUUCUCGGAGGCAAAGCCUUGCAGGUGAUUAGCCGUAAAUUUAACCAAUAAUUAAUCUUUAUAGUAUUUAGAUUUUCCUUUUUAAAAUACUUCGUUAUCUACCAAUCUUCCUAGGUGCUGGUACAACGUGGCAAAGUGGGGUGAGAAGAAGUACCAGGUUCAAAACACGACCCUUGGAGUACUGGAAAGGUGAAAGGCUGUUGUACGGACGUGUACAUGAGAGUAAGUGAACAUCGGAAGAAAUCCCUUUUAACAAUUCCACACUUAUAUAUGUUUUGGACUGAUAAUGUUUUGUUUCAAAUCAAGCGAAAACUUUUUAAAUUGGUAUAAUAAUAAUGAGAAGCAUUCCUUCUAUCUUAUACUCCACGAUUCUCUUUUUUCACGUGCUUGUAAAUUAAUUACCGGAUCAUUUUUGUUAGGCCUGACGACAGUAAUUGGGUUGAAGUAUGUGUCUCCAGCAAAAGGAAAUGGCAAACCAACCAUGAAGGUGAAGUCUCUAGUCUCCAAUGAGUACAAAGAUCUCGUCGAGUUAGCAGCCCUUCACUGAGAGUCAUCUACUAAAAGGAACAAAAAGCCUUGAAGCUUCUUAGAUUUUGCAUGUAUAACAACAAGCAAUUCCCUUUGAAUACAAACAACAUCCAGUCUCUUUGUAAAAACUGUAGAGGAGAAUUAGGCUUAUGACAUUGCAUUGUAUAUUUCUAAGCCUUUUCUCUAUCAUAUAUAUAUCUAUCAAGCUGUUUCGCUUGUGUAUUUGAGCUCAUGUACUUUGUCAUAAGAUUUCAUAUUUUACCCAUUGACAACUAGCUUUCUGUACCAAUUUUCUAGAAUGAGUUGUAAUCCUUGGGUGAAUUUGUUUGACGCUCACUCUUUCUUUUUGUCUCGGGGCGAAGGCAACUAGUUUUGUACUAUAACAUUGUAGGUCGCCUGAUGUGUAUGUCUAUACAAUAUCAUUAAUUCGUCCCAAACACUAAUAUCAAACUUUUAUAAAUUAGAAACAUUACAAAUAUAGCAAUCAUAGUCAAACUGUAUAAUGUACAGUAAUAACCUUUAGCAAAAUCUGUCGAGUCUAUCAGUGAUUGUCAAUGAUAGAUAACAUUACAAAUAUUGGUACACUAAAUUACUAACCAUUAUAAUUACCCUAUCUUAUUUCUUCAGGUUGAACACCCUCUUACAUUCUCUUACAUUGCAUAAGAUUGAAGUGAACUAUUGAAAUUUGGUUAAUAUAUUUGGUUUAAAGCUGUCAAAUGUUAGAUAUAAUUUAUUCUAUUGGGACCUUUUGUAUUGUAGUAUGCUGUACUAAUCGAUCUCCAUCCUAUUUAGAUUUUUAAGCUAACCAUUCUAAAACAAAAUGAUAGUAAUUUGACUAAGUUUUGUGAAUUCCUAAACUAUUUAUUGAUUGGGGAUUGCUCAAAACUUUAUUGAAACUUGAUAGUAGAUAUUCAAAUUAAUUUUGUUUUAAAAGUGGAAGGGCCAUCUAAAACAUUCUCUGAAUUCAUCUUCUAAGAUUGAAAAAUACUAAAGUAUUACAAAAUCAAGUUGUAGCUUAUAAAUGGAGUAUAUAUGGGAUUAGCUCUACUGCAUGUUUUACAUUUCUUGAACAUCAGCACAGAAAAUCACAACAUAUUUACCAAACUUUUUUUUUUUUUCUUUCUUUUUGUUGUUGCCUUUCUGACUCAAGCAAUCAGACACUCCCACGUAAAUAAAUAAAAAAAGAAAAAAGGAAGAGGGGAGAGAGAGAGAGAGAGAGAGAGAGAGAGAGAGAGAAUAUAAGGAACACACAUUGAAUGCAGAUUAACCUAUCCAAACUCAGCCAAGUAGCCAAUUUGAAUCUUCAUAUGACGUAUGCUAUAAGGCCCUUCAAAUUUUGAAAUCAUCUACCAUUGAGAUUAGAAAAAUGAGCAAACAUUGCACUUCCUGAAUGAUCAUCAAUGGCUUGAACCUCUGCUGGUUGCCUAUUCUGUUCUGGCUGCACGACAGAGCGGUUGUCGGAGUUCGAUGCAUUUGUCGAAGCUUCGACAGCGGGAGGUGUGGCCGGGGUGACAGUUGCCGUCGUACUUGCAGCUUUGUUUUCGUCUUCAGUUUUGCCUUGUGAGAAAGCUUCUUGUAGUUGUAAUGCAUACUCCAAAUUCCACAAUACAUCCCCCAUGCUUGGCCUGUCUACACCAUGUUCAGCUAGACAUUUCUCUGAUGCUUCUGCAAACUUUUUCAUGGACUCAGGAUUUAUAGCUCCAACUAGAAGUGGAUCCAUUAUCUUUUCCAAACACCCUUUUUUCUUACACUGCAUUGCCCAAUCAGCUAAGUUCACUUGUUCUCUUGUCAAAGAUGGGUUGAUUGCUGGCCUUGCACACAAAGCCUCAAGCAGAACAACUCCAAAGGAAUAAACAUCUGAUUUUUCUGUUAACUGUUGUCUCCUAAAGUACUCUGGAUCCAAAUAUCCAAAACUUCCUUUCACUGCUGUACUGACAUGUCCUUGCCCCAUUGGAGCAUCCUUCGACAAUCCGAAAUCGGCAACUUUCGCGGUGAAGUUUUCGUCGAGUAAAAUGUUGGUUGUUUUGACGUCACGGUGAAUGAUUCCUUGUGCUGUUCCUGUGUGCAGGUAAUGGAGACCUCGAGCUGCCCCGAUACAAAUCUCCAGCCUUUGCUUCCAUGACAAUGGAGAUAUGUCCUUUCCAUAUAAGUGAUCUCUGAAUGGACCAUUUGACAUGAACUCAUAUACCAAGAUCAUUUCAGCAUUUUCAUCACAGUACCCAAUCAAAGAAACCAAAUGCCUAUGUCUAAGUUUUGAAAGCAUUUGAAUUUCUGUUUGGAAUUCUGUUAUGCCUUGUUCAGAUUGUGGAUUUCCUCUCUUAACUGCUACUUUAGUCCCUUCAUCAAUCACUCCAAGGUACACAUUUCCAAACCCACCAACACCAAUUAUUGAAUUGGGAUCAAAGUUCUUGGUGGCUUCUUGAAGUUCUGCCAAAGUAAAGAACCUACCAAGGCCUAAAGUAGAGGAAUAAAUGUUGGUCUUAUGUGAUCCAUAUGAAGUCUUGCUUGUCAUAAAGCUUGAAUCACCAGCAUGUACAGGAAGCAACCAAGAAGAGAAACUGUUCCUCUUCUGCCAAUCCUGAGGCCUUUUAUGCCAUUUCAUCACCAUCGCGCCGAGCCCAACAAACGCUCCAAACAUCAUUGCAAACCCAACGGCAGCAACUGUCCCACGGUUAGAUCCAUUUGCAGACUUACCAUCCACUCCAAACUCUCCAUCCAAACUAUUAACAGAGUUGCUUAUUUUCAAUACCUCUAUACCAUUUAGAAUGGCAUUCGAAUCACCGGUAUCGACAUUAGCCGGACUAAUUUGAACUGUCAGUCCAUCUACAAUCAAGGAAGCAUUAACCACAACAUCCUUGUAAUAUGCAGUUGCCAAACUUCCUAGCUUGUGUGACAAAUCCAAGUUGGUUAUAGCAGCUUUCCCAUUUACAUAAACAUUGAAAUAGAUAUCAUUGAGUACUUUGCUGACAAUAUCACAAAAAUGGAAGCGAACUAGAUACCCAAAUGAGGGAUCUGCUUCAAAUUUCCACGUGAUAUUGAAAUUUGGUACACUAACUUGAGCAUCUCCCAUUUGAACUGCACUUGCAUACACACUUGGAGGAGCAAUUAACAUGCCUGUUUCUUUCAAUCCUCCUUGGUAUUUGAUGCUAUUAGUCUGAACAACCACACUACUACCAGCAGCUUUCGGUGUCCUAUAAACUUCAUCUGUCUCCCAUGUUCUCCCAAGAGUGUCAUUUCUUGGAGUAAUUAUAGGACCUCCCAUGUUUAACCUAUACAGUGUCUGAAAUGCAUAUUUUGACAGGCCCUCAAUAGUUCCAACUGGAGACAACUCCACGUUGGAAUCGGCAAUCAAGUCCACAGGAGCCGAGACGACCUCGAUGGCGUUGAUGAAAGCAGCUGAAUUCCUCAUAGGCAAGAACUUGAUUGAGAGUUUUGGUUCAGUGAUAUUGAGGAGAAACUCCUUGAGAACAAAUGUGGAUUCAUUGUUGAUGUUAAAGCUAUGAAGCAACACAUAAUUUUCAGUAGCUACUGAAAAUUUGGCUUGCAAGAGAUCAAAGUCAUUGCUUUUAACAGGAAGGAAAUGUAGGCGUAGCCAAUGCCAUCCAGGCUCUGCCAUUUGAAAAAUGUAAGUAGCUUCUUGGAGGAAGACUCUGGCUGUCAAAUCGACUGGCGACGGUGCCUUCAUCUCCGGCGUAGCGGUUGCUAUAAUGUCAUCCUUGGCAUCUAAGUAUUGCUUGGAUUGCUCAUCAGUUUUGAAAACUCUCCCAUCAGGGAGUGCACCAACUUCCUUGUUGGCACCACAGUCAAUGAGAAAAUUAUCUUUGGGAAUGAAGGAAGCGCCGGGGCCGGUAGCAAAUGCGAUGUUUGGACAGUUAAAAAUGAAACAGAGAAAAACCAGGAGGAUAGCCAUCGAAGAAGAUGACAUUAAUGGAGAGGAGAUAGUCGAAGUUCUCUUCUUUUCUUUAAUCUCCAUUCCCUCCUGGGUGAGGAGGUCUGAAUCAAAAAAGAAAAGAAAAACAAAACAAAGCUAAGAAUUUCUAAAAAGAGUUUGUGUAUUAUGCCUUUUUCCUAAACCAGUUGGUUAUUUUUAUCCAUCUUUUUUAAAUGGAUGAGAUGUAGCUUUGAAUCAUUUCUCAACAAUAUUCAGCCAAGAAUUGGUUGUCCCAACAAUUUUGGCCCACUGAAAUUCUUGUUGGUUUUUGGCCAAUUCCUUUUUUUAGCUUUCACUAUCCAAAUCACAAGUAGCUCACAUUUGAAAUAGUCAAAAUGCCAUCACUUUUGUGGUUCGCCAUUCACCUCUUCGUAGUUUUUUGCAUUAUAAAUUCACUUUCAUAAGUUAUCUUUUUUCCAAAUAUUUUUAGUAUAAGACUGUCAAUUGCAUAGUAUAAGACAUACAGCAUAAUGAAGGUCCAAUUUUGUGGGGGAAUUAGUUUGUUGAAAGAGUACAUAUAUAUCAAACAACUAAAAUCUUUUUUUAUUUUAUUUAAUCUAUUGAAUAAUGAGAUUUAUAUUUGGAUGGACAUAUCAAACUCUAAACUAAAUAUUUCAAAACCAAACCAAAAGCCACCAGCACUCAUUACAUGCAAAAAUGGAAGUUUUUUACACUGUUAGAGUCAAAUAGGGGUACGAAAGUCAUAUUUUGUUCAAAGGACUUUUCUUUUUUUAACAAACUGAGGUACUGAGUUAUACUCAGGACUUCAUAAAAAAAAAAAAAGUUAUUUGUAUCUAUAAUGUAUUGACAUAUUGAUUAAUUGAAAUUCUUAGAGAAAACAUAACAUUCUUGAAAGUGCUCCCAUUAAAUUUCAUAACCAUAUAUUGUAAUCCUUUGAUUGAAGUAUCAUUCAUCAUGUUGUAGUGUCAUCGGAAUAUAGUUGAUUCUUUUGCCAUUAAACCUUUUUAGAUCUCAUUUAUUUCAAAAAAGAAAAAAAAAAAAGUUUUUUUAGUUCUAUGUAAGGCGUUGAAUAAUCCUUAGUAAGUCGUAUGGUAAAACAUUAAAUUUCUUUUUUAUUACAAGUGCGUAUUGGAGAUCAAAAAAAUUUCGAAAAUUGAAUAGAUAAAAAGACGUAGGGGAUGUUUGGUACGCAAAAUUGAGUUGAUAAUAAUAACGAAAGAGUGGUCUUUCUUUUUUCUCCGCUCCUCCAAACCCAUUUUGGGGCCAAGCGCGCUCUAAUGAUGUAUUUAAAGAGAGAAAAAUAUAAAAGGGUAGACCAAAUUAUGUACAUGUACACAAGGGAAAGAAAAAGAGUAUUACUUAAGACGACAACAUUUAUGUUGAGAAAACCGAACCUGAUAGAAUCAUAUUACAAAAUUUCAACUCAACCUUUGCUUUUUAAAGCAAACUGAAUGUUCAAUAGGUAGAUGAAUCAAUAUUUUCAAGUACAUUAAAUGUUUGAAAUAUAUAUAUGCGCGUGUGUGUGUGUAUCACAAUACUUAAUAAAUAGAAAGUGAGAUUGACAUAGAACUCGUAAUGGUAAAGUAAAGCAAGACUGAUUAUUAUACUGUCACGCAAAUCGAAUACUAAUGGUCUCAUUACUUGACAGCAUCCUAAGUAUUGAAUCCCACAUUAGAGAAAAUACCAUAUCAUACAAAGAAAAAUACUCAAACCAUAGUGGUAAGGUAACAAACAAAUAAACUUCUUAACCAAAGCACUAUAUAUAUUAUAUCAUAUAUUCAUUCAUAUUAUAGAAUAGAGAAUAAUAUCAAACUCCAAUUAGCACAUCAUAGCUAUAGCUUCUGCUAAAACAAAUUUUCUUCACCAUUUCUCUCAUUUUUCUCAUAUUUGGGGAAGCCCUUUUUUCUCACUUGCUUCAUUCAAAAACCAAACCACAAGAAAAACCUGGCACCAUGGAGUCAACAACACCCAAACAUAAAAGUUACUUCUUCUGUAUAUUAUAUAACUUCCUACCAAACAAACUAAACUGAAGCAUGCAUUUAAACAAACGCCGUACCGCAAUUUAAACAAGGAAAAGCCCACACGUCAAGCUGAAAAAUACUGUUCUCAGAUUAACGGCAGGAGAGGAGUUCGUCGUAUAGUCCUGUGAGAUGAACAGACCAAAACGUAUAUAUAUAUAUAUAUCUAUGCUGCCUGUGACUGUCAGUCCAUAUUUAUUUAUAUCUUCUUUAAGCCAAACUAAGAAGAAGGAUCUAAUUCAUUUACCUAAUACUUAUUGGAACCUAUAGCAGCCCAAAGUGCUCCAGAAUAAAGCUAGAGAUCACGAAGGGCAUAGAAGAAGGCCUGCAAAAUAUAAAAUAUCAACUGUUAGAAACUGGAUAGAGAUGCAUAUAAACACAUAUAAAAGAAGUUUGGUUCAUUUUUUCAGUUCCAAACCUUUGAUUAUUGAAAUAGGCUCCGUCACAUACGCUUGCUUACUUCAUUGGCCAAAGUUCAUCUCUGAAUAUCUGAAACGAGAAAAGUAAAGGCAGAGUUUUACAUCAAACCCAAUCAAAAUCUACACCAUGAUAUCUACAAGUGAGCCAAGGAAAAUAAGUUUUUGAACCUUGUCUUCUACUCAGAAAAGAGUGAAUAGACAAUAUAUCCAAAAUUACCUGCGUGGCUUAUUUUGUCGUUGUCCAACAUCAUCACUUUCGAGUUCUGCAAAGGAGAAAGAUCAGUUGUGCCAUAACUAUGUUUUUGCCAUCUAAGAAAUAUACAAAAUCAAUCAUGUUCUAGUAAAAAUAAGACAAUUUUACCAUUUUGUGGAGGCUUUGACUCAUUACUGGAUUUGUUUGAGUUAUUUUCUUUGCUGCAGAGAGUAGAAAUAAAUCAAGAUCUAAUGAUCAAUGGAAAAACAUAUGUCGAAGUGGAUUCAUAAAAUAUAUCAAGAAAGAAGUACUAAGUAAUCCCUCUGGUAUAUAGAUACAUAUAUACAUAUAUAUAAAAGAGGCACCAUCUUUCUAAUCUAUCCCCAAAAUAAUUCUAAACAAAGAGCAUAUUGAUAGUAAAAACUCUACUAGCUUUCAUACAACAUAGUGAGAGUGCAAGUGUGACAAUCUCAAAUCUGUAUCUGAAUAAAGCACAGCUCAUGAAGUGUAUUGAGGCAAACAACAUGAUGCACUGACAAGACAACAGCAUCCAGAAUUAUCAAAACCAGUACAAUAUAUACUAACCUCAACAUUCCUGCAGAUGAUGUCUGUCCUGAGGGUCGAGCAUGAUAAGCCCCAUCCAUAGCUAUAUAAGGCGAACAAUAUGUAGCUCCCAAAGCCCCAGCUGCACCAGCCAAAACUGGUAACCUGAAGAAUAUAUAGCUCCUUAAAUGAGAACCACCAACAGGCGAUAGGGUGGUAAAAUGAAUUUUUAUCAGAAAAAGAGAAAAAAAAGGAAGAUUCAGAGGAAUUGCAUGGAAGAAUCAAAAUCGAGACAUUGAAUUGGAUCCUUUUUCUUAAGUUUUGUCAAUCUAAUCACAUAAAACCAAUUAGGCAAUUCCAUCCAGAGAUUCCAGACAAUAAAAAAAUGGAAGAAUCAAAAUCAAGACAGACAUCACAAAUCAUUAAAUACAAUGAAUGUAGAACAGCAUUUGCUUGGUGAAUUAAUACAUUUCAUCUCAAUGUUUUUUAUUGAACAAAAUGAACUUUGCUUUGCUUUGGGCUUGGGUCUUUUUAUAAUUUCAUAUAUAUGAAAUUUACCUUAUAGAAAAAAAGGAAAAGAAAAAAAUAACACACACGUAUAUAUACAUUCGUCUGUGUUAAAAAAACUUCAGUUCAUUGGUCACCAAAAUAUUGCAAGAUCAACAACAUCCACCAGAGCACAGCAUAUUUAUGGCAUGCAAUAUAACAUCCUCAUGAAAAUGACUACUACCAUGUCAUUUCUGAAUUUCCCAUGCCAAGUUGGGACUGAGCAACAUAUCCUGGAAAUGCCAUGCCAACAGCAGGAACUCCAAUGCCACCAGGAUGCUGACCUCCAAAUUGCAUAACUUCGCAAGUAUUCAACGAUAAAAGAUCAAUAGCAUAGACAAUAAAGAGAAAAAGAACUAAAAACAUUAUUUAAAAUAACAAAUUCUUCAUUGAUCAAUAAAACUAUAACAAACCAAAACAAAACACAUACUUCAUGAACUCAAUUGCACAUGGCACCAUAUCAAACUCAGGUAAUUUUAUUUUAAAUGAUAUAACAGGGAUCCACAAGAACCCAUGCAUUUUAUUAUUCUCCAUUUCCCAUAAAGAUAAAAAUUAGGUAUGCAAUGUAAAGCUUUACCUGGCAAAAAUGCUGGAGUAUGAGGAAAGUUCUGGUCUCCAUGAGUAAUAUUCAUGUUCCCAGAAGUUCCCAUCAUCUGAGCACCACCAUAAAUGAAAGAACCGGCACCAAUACCCUGGGCCACACCCUUCCCCUUUCCAACCAAAGCAGUUUUCAACUUACUUGAUUCUGAAGAGGAAUCACCCUCGCCAGAUUCAAGUGAGUUAACUGAAGUGGAAGUUUUUGGUGGAGAUGAAGACUGAGAUCCACUACCAGGUCGUUGACCCAACUGCUGGACAGGAACCUGAAUGGCAGAUUGAACCCUAGUUUGACCAGGAGUUCGUGCUACACCAUGUGAUUGAGCAGGUAAAGAGACCUUGUUAACUUGGCUAUGGAGUGAUGCAGGAGGGUAGCCAGUUGGUCCUACAGCAGCACCCCUUCCAUGAGGUCUAGAUUGGGGAAUUUGACCACUAUUGACCAUGGAAGAACCAGAAGAUGGCUUGGAUAAAGGAUUUCCUAGAGAUGGAUUGGUUGAAUCAUUUAUGUAAACCCUCUCCAUGGCAACAGUAUCAACUACAUGCUUUCCAUCUACCAUUACAGUUGAUUGUGGCAAAGAGCAAGUAUCAUCAUACAUAUUCUUUUCAGGAAGUCCAGCUUGUACUUCACUUUUUUCCACUUUAGGGAUGUUUUUACUAGACGUCCCUGAAGGGUAGAAAGGCGGAGAAGCAUAAUUCAGGCUUGAUGCAAAGGCAUGUUUCCUAACAGAGAUUUGCUCACCUUCGAUGUUUGGAGAGGGUGCAAGGGAUCUCCCUGUAUUAUUAUAAGAUGCUUUCUCAAUAGGCUUCACAGAUCUGAGGUCAUAUGCAAAAUGGACAUAUACUAAAUGAGUAAGCGCCCAUGAGCUGUAAAAAAAUUCUAACAAGUAAAAGCUAUUAAGAUUCAUUUAUAAGAAUUGAUUACUUACUGUUUUUCUUGUGAAGGAGAGGAUCUAGCAUUGUUGUUCAUAGUUGGUUCAUACCGUCUAGGUCCUCUUCCUCUCACAACUUUAGGAGCAGCAUUGCUUUGAAUGUUAUUUUUAUUGUAUGCUCGAGAUCUGUUCCCUCGAGCAUAACCAUGAUCCAUGCCUCUGCUUUUACCCCGACCUCGUGGGUGACCCUUGGAAGUUCUCCUCUAAUAUGGUGUAAAGAAAACAACACAUAUGAGAGAGAUAGAGAGAGACUCAUGUUUACAUUUAGUGCAAAUAACAAACAAAUCAUUACCUCAUCACGAUGCCUUUCUUGCAAAGUCAUUUCUUCAAACUUGUCAUGCCCCCAUUUCAUGUCAUCCUUGGACUCCCACAACCUCCUUCCACCAUGUGUUCUCCUACAGAUGUUUUAAAAACAAGAAGGUAAAGGGAAGUACAGUUUGACAGAAGUUGUAGCAAUAGAUAGGCUAAGAGCUUGAAGUAUGAAGGAGGUAUGCAAGUCCCCAUAGUAUUUCUUAGAAAAUUGGAAUCAGUAAAGUGCCUUUAUCUUCAAAAACCUGUUCCAGAGCAUAAUUUCAGACCCCCCAAUUCCUAAAAAAUAACUAAAUAGAAUUUUUAGAGGUGGAGUUCUUCAUUUAGAGGUCGACUUUAGGCUCUUAAAACACAAACCAUGGAGGGAUAAAACUUACCUAAUAUAUAGACUACGGAAAAGUGGACAAUUAAAGAAAAUCUCGUUCUGAUGGGUCAACCACGCAACUCCCAAGCAUAAAUUGCUCCCUAGGAAUGAUAACACUCAAUUCUAAAAAUUUACUUAAGAAUGCCUUCAAUUAUGUUUGUUCACAAUUUCAGCCAAAUCACAAUUUUUUGAAGGGAAAAAAGGUUUAAAACACGCGCAUAUAAGAGUGGCUUAACCUAUAAAAAGAAAAACUGAACUGGUUCUUCACUAAAUGAGAAAGAGAGUGAGAGCUAUACCUGUGUCGACCACCUGCAUUGUCUCUAAACCUAUCAUCAUGCAUAUAGAAAGCCCCGGCAGUGGGAACAGCGAAGGGCUCAUUCACCUUCUUCUCCUCAUCAAAUUCCCCCUCUAAAUUUUCCUCGUGCAAAUCAGUUUGUUCUUCAGGUAAUGGUCUUCCAUCAUCAUCCAACUCCUUCGCUACAUUGCCGGAGGCAGCAUCCAGUUCAACAUGAUCGCCCAACUUCCUCUCCUCAUUAUCAUCUUCCUCAACUUCCUCCCCCUCAUCAACAUCCUCAACUCCUUCACCAACCUCAUCUUCAUCUACAUCUACAUCUUCCCCCAAUUCAUCCUCAUCGUCGUACUCCGCAGCUCCACCUUGACCAUCCGAAUCAUCCGAAUGAAUCCCCAUCCUCCGUAUCGUCCUCCUCCCUUCUCCCCCUUCUCCUUCACCCUCCUCAUCAUCACUCGCCUCCCGCCUCCGCAUCGCCAGUGACCGCUUCGCUUCUUCCGGAUCACUCUCAUAAUCAACCUCUUCUUCAGUCGCAGUAGCCAUCAAUCAACUCCCAAAAAAAAAAAAAAAAAGAAAAAAAGAAGAAGAAGAAGAAGAAGAAAAAUAAAACAAAAAAUUAUAUCCGAACCCUCACCCUUCCGAUCAAACCAAAACACAAAUCUUCGUGCAGAAAUCAAUCAACAACAAAUCCAAAAUCCUCAAGCACCAGAAACCAGAUAGGA
Molecule: long non-coding RNA, 64120 nt
Filed under: Cucumis sativus (cucumber)
Lineage: Eukaryota; Viridiplantae; Streptophyta; Magnoliopsida; Cucurbitales; Cucurbitaceae
Description: long non-coding RNA (CSAT_LNC002910)
Source: RNAcentral